Molecule: long non-coding RNA, 61885 nt
Filed under: Ananas comosus (pineapple)
Lineage: Eukaryota; Viridiplantae; Streptophyta; Magnoliopsida; Poales; Bromeliaceae
Description: long non-coding RNA (ACOM_LNC007768)
Source: RNAcentral
CAAAAAAAAAGUUUAAGCUGCAAAUAUUCUAUUUAGUCUUAAUCAAAUAUCUUAUGAAAAUCAAUUUUAACCAAAUGUGGACUCAACUUUAACCAAGUGUUAACUUCAACUUUAACCAAGUGUUAACUAAUCACCACCAGAGAGUUGGCAACCAUAAAUGGUCUAUUAUCUCGAUAGAAAUAGCAAGUUUAUGGAUUAAUAAUAAACCAUCUUGUAAGAAAAGAAAGAUGAGAAACGAGAAGCUUCAACUCUAUAGAUGACACACCUGAGGUACCCCAACCAAGUACUUAACAAGUGUCUUAUAUACACCAGUUGCAGAACCAAGCUGUGCUAACUGUCUCCGCCUAAGAGAACAUACAAUAUGUACAGCAGCUUCAUGUAGUUAGAAUAAUAAAAAACAAAUGACUCUCUUAAAAAGAAAAUGAAAACAACCUUUCCAUUUGCUGCUUCCACAACAGAGCAUAGCGAUCGCGUAUGCUUCCACCAGCGUUAACCACAGCAUCAACCUCAGCUUGCUUAUUUCUCUCCGAGCGUUCUCGCUGCUGUCUGAUUAAAGUGCCUCGAAAAUCUUGUGGCAUGUAGGUCAUAACUGCAAAUAUGUUUACAGACCACCUGGUCAAUUAUCAAGAGAGUUUCUUAGCAAUGCCCUAGAGCCUGAAUAAGCUUUCCAUAGUACCCAACAAAAUUGCAGUGGCAUUUCUACUUAUCAUUGCAAGGCAUUUAUGUGUUAAAAUAAUGAUAAUUGUAAGUUUCAUCAUUAUGGUGAAUGUCCCCACAAACAGAUACACAAACACAAUCAGAAAAGACCACAAAUGGAAACAAACAAAAUGGUUCAAAAGCUGGUUUCUCAACAAAAGGACAUACAGGUAGAAAUGCCAUUUCUCCAUGAAAGGACUGCUGUUUGACGUCAUGCUCAUUUGUGGAAAAUUUGUAGUUUGCUUGUUGAACAAAUUACACGAUGUACUGAGAAAACAAAUUUUUUUAACAAUCAAAGGAAGGUUAGAGCUAACAAACAAAUGCAGCUCCUUUUGUUGUUGAAGCCUGCUAGAGAUGCACUAGUGAAAAUCAGGUCAAGCUGUAGAAAGCUGACAAAAGGAUAAAUAGAUAUCCAAAUUUCAAAAAGUGAAAUUUUCAGACUAUUAAGUUAUAGAAUGCAGUGACAUACAUUGCCAAAUAAACAAUAGCCAUGCUAUUGAUUCAUCAGACUCUGAGCAUACUAGCCACAAACUGAAAAAAGAAGAGAGGAGUGGGGGUUAAAAAAAAAUCCCACAAUUCAAUGUUCCAUCAACAACUACCAAGGUGGAGGAUCUGAAGGACUCAAUAGUGAGGAUAUUGUAGUUUUCGUGCAUAGCAGUUCAAGUGGGAAACAUACUGUUCUUGCUUAUCCAGUAUUUCUACAUACAGUGGUAUAGGAUAGGAUGAGCCAAGGAUGGCAUGCCAGUACAUUCUAGCAGGCAACUGUCAUGCAGCAUUGUACCAACUCCCAUACUAUGAUAAGUUUGUACCGCAAUAAACUGUUGUGCCACUCCACCCCACAUCAAGUGCUAAGCAUGCUUCUUUAUUUUCUUUUAUACUGAUGUCUGUGCUGAUCACUAGCACGAUAAGUGUCGCCACACAUACCAUGUUAUAGGUGGAGCGGCAUGGUGCAUGGCACUGGCACGUAUAACCUUGGAAUCAGGUAAACACUGUUUUACAUAUGAUUGGUCAACCAAAUUAGCUUACAUAUAUUUUAUUAAAGUACCUGCUUAAGAUAAGAAACAGGAAAAAGAAAACUAGUUGAAAUAAGGACGCAUCAGCAAACUUGAUCUUCCUGAUCAAGCCCCUAACUUUCACGAUUCCAUCAAGACUCGGUUAGCCCUUGAUAUAAUAAAAAGAAAUUUGAUACCACUAUGAUUCUAUGAAUCAAAUCAAACAACUAAGGUAUUCUAGCCAACUAGCCUUGGCUAAACCCUGGCCAAUUUCCACGUGCUCCCAUGUCAUUGAAAAGUGAAUCGCAAGCAAUACCAAAAAACCUACUCCACUUAUCUUUACCUCAGGGAAUACUUUACAUGGAAAAGAUGAAAGGACAGUCAGGUGAUCAUGCAAAGGAGAGACAACAAAGUGAAAGAAUCUCGCAAAGAGAAAACAGAGAAGCAGGUUAGAAAAGUGGUUGAUCUGGCUACAGCACACUUCACUUUUCAAAUAACAUUGAGCAUGCUGUCAUCCAGUGUGAAAAUCAUAAAUAUUAUUACCUUUUUAGGGAUUGAAAUUUCAAGUAUUGUAUAAAUAAUUGCACCAUCAACAAACCUACUUAUAUCAUUCUUCAAGCUGCACCAUUACCCAGUGACAUCACAAGCCAGAACAUAACAAAGGACAAGUAAGGUUUCACGAACCAUUGUUUAUUAGUAUAAUAAUAACGAACCAUUCAUUUAACCCUUAUAGGGCAUAACUUGGAAUAUAAUCAGGUAAUAACAAAUAGGUAUUGAUAACCAACCUGUAUUAAAGACGUUGUCAGCAUUUCUUGCUUGGAAUUUUUCCAACUUUGUCAAAAUGUCUUUGAACUUGACUUCAAUACUGUCAAGAGCUGCAGCCAUAUCAACAUCUUCAGGGGUCGCCUUCUGUCGAAGCUAUAAUGUGCAUACAGAAAAGUAAUAUUUACAAAUGUUCAUGAUAGAGCAAAAACAGUUCGAAAAAGUAUACUUCGAAUCCAAUAUACUACAAAGAAAGUGCAAAGUACUUCGGGAUAGCAACAAGACAAAAGAAAUGUUAUCUUGAAAGGUAAAAAAUACAGAGGCAUCUCCGACCACAAGUCAUUCUGGUGUAGGUCCUUGAACUAUGAGCUUUUUCUUAUUUUUUAUGAGAGACCCAGUACUUGCACUUUUUCUUUAGAAGUUUCCAUCUAGUUUGGUGGAAUUGCUAUUACAUGCAAUGAUUAUUACUCCAAGUAAACAAUGGCACCAUAACAACGUGUAGCAAAAUUGCCGUUAAUUCGUCAAAUAAAAAAGUGAACUAUAGUUGAGGUGGGGUCUUGGAGAGGUCCUAUGCUUCUUUGACCUUACAAAAAGCCCAAUCAGCUGUGCAUGCUGUGAGGCUGAAAAAUGAUAUAACUGAGCAAAUUUUUACCCCUUUUGGCCGAUGAGAUUCCUCAAGCAAAUACAGUAUUUCCUCAAUUUGUUCUCUGUUCUUCCACAAAUUCUCAUCAAUUUUGUGAGCAGGUUCGUUGUCAACUUCUUGUGCUAGUAAUUGUUCGCCUACACAACAUAACCAAGAGAAGGCACAAUUAUGUGGGUGUUAACAAAUUUUGAUUGACUCAUACUAUCUUUAAUGUAGAGUGCUCAAAUCAUGUUAAGGAUAAUAUUGAUGAUCGAUAAACAAAGAAUUCAUGUAAAAACCCAAGAAAAGUUAAUAACAACAAACUUCAAUCCUAGCUAAAAGAACAACAAGAUGCUUUUGUUAUGAAGAUAAAAAGGAUAAUGCUCCCAUGAGAGGUGGGGCACGGGACUGUCCACGAAUGCUGGAUCUUAGCCACAAUAACAUAAAUUGGGCACAUCAUGAAAAGCCCAUGAAAUAUACAAACAACAAGAAACUCGGUUAUUCGGACAGUCAUAUAUCUAGCAAACAGUACUUCUUUUAUGAUUCCCUCAUCUAAGCAAUCAACCACACCUUAGGUAGCAUGCUUAAUUUCAAGAUAUUCCUUCCAUUGGCACUAACAGCAGCCUUUUCCCUGCAUCUAUCAUGCAGUUAACAAAUGCAGACAUGUGAGCCAGCAGUCUCACCAUAGAUAUUACCUAUGGGCUACAGCGGGCAUCACUAUCUGAAGUGUCCCCGUGAGCACUUAGCCCAGACUAACUCAACUCAUUCAUGGCUUGAUCCCAUGCUAGGAGGACAUUCAUACACAUCCAGUUUGCCAUUCAGUCCUACUUUGAGACUAUGCUCUCUGCUCUAAUAAUGUCAUUUUGGCCUUCCUAAUUCCUAUACCUCUUUUUAUACGUUAUUCAGAUCCCUACUAACAAGAUACCGAAUGAAACAACUAAACCUGGCGAAAUAUGAAUUUCCUAAUGCACAUGAUCAAAUCAAACAGGGUCAAAUUUCACAACUAGUUCUUCCCAUAUUCUUCAAUCCCAACGCAAUGUGAACUCCCUAAUGCACAUAAAAACAGGAUUUCUCAUGCCAAGUUAUCAUUGUGGUUUGGCAUGCUUCGUCCAGAUUGGCGUUCUUGUUUGAGGAUAUAAUCAAAUCAAUUAGUAAAUUCAUAAUACCAUAGUAAUUGUCCAAUUCAAACCAGAAGAAACCAUAACUAAAGAAGCAAUAAUCUUAUAUAUUCUUGAUGCAUUUCCGCCCCCUACCAAAUAAUCAAACAAACAAAUCAAAUAAACCCAAAUCCCAUAAGCAUCAACUCCAAACCCGCAAUUACUUCCCAAUUUAGCUACCUAAUCACCAAGAAUAAAUCUUUGAGAUCAGAGAAGUAAGGGCAUCAAAUUCAGUACUCUCCGACAAAGAUUAAAACCUUUCUACGAAUCAAGAACUCACCUUUCCAACUGACAAACCACUAGAGAACAGAAAUUAACAAAAAUUAAACUAUGGAAACACUGUUCAACAAAGAUUAAGCCUUUCAAUCUACCAAGAACCCACCUUUCCAACUGAAAAAAAAAAACCCAAGAAAUCACGAUCAAGAGGAGGACGAGAAUCACCAGGAGCGAGGGGGAAGUCCCUACGGAGGCCGUCGGAGAGGCGCCCGAGCUCCGCCGUGAGGCGCGCGACGCCGUCGGCGAGGGGGGGGCAGGGGUACUUCUCGUAGUAGCGCGCGAGGAACGCCCUCGUGAUGGGGACCAACCCGUUCGUGGCAGAGGCCAUCGCCGCCGACGAAGGCGACCGGGAUCUUCCCCGCGGCCACACGUAUCCCUACCCUCGAUCGAUCUCGAUCGAUCGAUCCCGCGGUGGCGGAGGCGUCGGAGGCCGAGGAAAGCGAGGCGGGGCAGGAGCCGGGGAUGUGGCGAGGGAGGGAGCGAUCGAUUUGGGGCGUUAAUGGAGAGUGUCGGUGCGAUUUGGGGCGUUAAUGGUGAGAGAGAGAGAGAAAGAGAGAGAGGGGGGAAACGCCUUGUUAGAUGAAGAAGAAGAAAAGGAAAGAGGAGGAGGAGGAUGAGGAGCACGUGCGUCGCGUGCACCCGAGUGGUUUGGUUUAUGCUUACCUGCGGUGAGAUUAAGAAACGUGUCACCGACUUCAUUUGAGUAAACUUGUACGAUGACCCCUCAACUAUAUACAUCUCUCAGAAAUUAGCCCCAUUCAUUGACAACUCCUUUUUUGUGCUUUUAUUUGAUGUCUUAAUUUUCUGAUUUUUCUAAUUGAAGUUUUUCCGAUUAUAGUCAAAUUAUAAACUUAUUAGAUCUGUUUUCAAUUUAUUCGUAGUGCAGAAAAAAUAAAUGUUCGCAGUCGCCCUCAGACUACAGAUCAUUUUGAAACAGAAUCUAUUAGCAUCUCUGUAACUCUUUUAAUUAUUCUAAAUUAUUCUAAUCUAAUACCUUAAUGUUAAUACCCGUUUUUGCACUUUUCCUUCCUAUCAUUUAAAAACUUACACUUAUGUUCCUUUAAAAAACAAAAGAUAUUCACUUUGACUCCGUUGUCGGUCUGUCAGUAUUUCGUUACGGUUCCAUCCUCGACCGUGCCGCCUCACCCUCCACCACACCGCCUUGAGAUGGAUUGGCUUCGAUUGACCUUCUUACUAUCUAUGGGAAUGGUGAACUCCUCUGGGGAGUACAUGCUUUGAAAAGCGAUCAGCGAAUGACCUUGGUCUAGUAGAGUUUGGAGUUGUGGGUUUGUGUACCCGGAUUUUUGUAGCAGACGCCUUGAUCUAGGGUCGUAGAGAGCCGAGGGAGUCUCCAUAACCAAGAGGUCGAGGUAUUGGUGUCGCCUGCUGAGACAGGCCGCCUCGAAUGAAGUUAACGGUCAGGGAGCAAGUACCAAGCUCGGGUUUGGUUUUGCUCGAUACGAUAGAAAAAAAUUAAGACUUCCAAGCGGUUCUGGUGUGGUGCCCGGCCUUCCAUCGAGUUGAUUGUAUAAAGCAUCUAAUUUAACAUGACGUCUUUCCCCGACCGUGCCGGGCGCAACAUGGAAGUUGUAUGUCCUCCGCCACCUCCAUCUCGCCCACCUCUUUGUCAAUGCCUACACACCCGCCCUCGCGCGCCUCCGCCGCCUCACUCUCGCCCUCGCUCGCCCGCCUCUCAAUCUAUGCCCCUUCCGAAGAAGAUGAUGGACAAUUUGAUUUUUUUGUCACAAUGUAUCCUUUCUAAAAAUUUUUUAUUUUUUUAAAAAAUAAAGUAUGAAUUUUUAAAUAAUAUAAAGAAAAAGUAAAAAAGCGAUGGCUUGUACGUAAUUUAGCUAAAGAUAAAAAUAGAAUUUGAGAGGCUAUUUCAAAAUAGUACUAAAUUUAAGUCGGGGGUAACCACACCGAUGGUGAGCGUACCCUCAGGCAUAUGGUGAACAUGGUGGGGGAAUAUGCGACGUUUCUAGUCCCCAUUCCUUUAUACGAUGCUUCUUUGCAAGUUUGGAGAAAAGAAUUUUUCCAACCUAAAAAAUAGUAGUUAUCUGAUUGACUACUUAAUUUUUGGGUUAAUUUCAUACAGGUCCCUACAGACAUAAUGAAUAGUAGAUAUAUUAUUGUAAAGUUUAACUUUCAUGAGUUAUUCCUGUAAAAGUCCUAGUGUAUUCAGAUAUAUUCUUGCCGUUAAUACCCAUUGGAAAAAUCUAGUUAACCACAGUUAAAAUACUUAAUCAUGAUUAGUUAAUACGGUAAAAUGACAUUUUUACCCUUCUUUCUCUUCCCCUUCCUCUUCCUUUUCCUCUUCUGCUUCUUCUUCUUUAUAUCCUCAUUUUCCUCCUCCUUUUCUCCUUCUUCUUCGUCGUCGUCGUCGUCGACGAUCCGAUCAUCGUCGCCGUCGUGGUGCCCGCGUGGGCCGUUGUCACAGGCGCCUCCGACGCCAUCGGCCACGCCUUCGCCUUCCGUCUCUUCCUUAUCCUCAUUGGCUGCAACCCCUACAAGCUCCGCAAGAUCGCCGCCGCCGCCGUCUACUCCCACAGCAUGAAGAGGAAGAGGAAGAUGAAGAGUGCAAGGACAAAAUAAUCAUUUCAUAAUUCUACUGUUAAAAAAUUAACAGUUUUUUAACAAAUCCAAAGCAGAGGGACAUAUCUGAAUAUAUAUAUAUAUAUAUAUAUAUAUAUAUAUAUAAAAUAGGUAGCUAUCUGAAUAUAUUAAAGCUUUUGUAUGAAUAUUUAUGAAAGUUGAACUUUGCAGAAAUAUAUCUACUAUUUAACAUAUUUGCAGGGACCUGUAUGAAAUUAACCCUUAAUUUUUUUUAGAUUUUAAUUAUAUUUUCUAAUCUUUUACUUUGAUUGAGUUGAGCCAGUCAACAAUAUUCUAACUUUAAUUGUGUCGUUUAUAUUAUAAGUUUAGUUAGUAUAGUUUAUCUAAUCUCGCAACUAUAAAUUGUUAAGAUAACUAAUUAGCUUAAAUUUAAAAUCGAAGUACUGUCGUCUGGCUCAAAUCAAAGAAAUUGAAAAAUUAAAUAAUAAAAUCAAAUUAUGAAAGGUUGAUCUAAGUUUCUCUUUCAUAUUGCUGGGGGAAUUGUUGGGUACUUCAUUGGGUAAGCUUGCGAUUCUCUUUUUUUAUAUAAAUUUGUAUGUAGAGACCCCCAAUUAUAAGGCACAACUGAUUUUAAGAUGCGUUAUUUCAAUCAAGUAAAAAUAAACUUUUACUAUAAAUGUAAUACUUAUAAUCACUUUUUUAGCAAAUAAAAUCCAAUUACUUUAAUGAUUAAGACUUAGUUUCGUAUUCAGAUGGAUCUAAUGCCAUUAGAUAGAAUAGAGUUGAGAAAAAAAAUAUAAAGAUAUGUUUCUGCGUUCUCCGAUGGGAUCGCAAAAAUAUAUCUUAACUGACGAACCGCAAUAUGUGGAACGCAAUAAUACGUACGGAAACAAACAGGGUAUUUUUUCAUCGUCGUUUUUCAUCGCACGUAACGUAAUCUCCUUGUAAUCCCAAACGAAGCCUUGAAGGGCCAAUUACAUAAUUUAUUGAUAGUUGAGGGGGUCUUUGUACAUUUUCACCAAUAUUUUAUCGUGCGUGGCACGGGAAAGGUGGUGGUGCGUGACGUGAGAAAGAGGGCCAAAUUAAUAACGUGACGGUACAGUUUAGGUUAAUUAAUUAAUCAGAAAAAUAUAAACAAAAUUUGUGUACAUGAUGUAUUUAUAAAGGAUCUGUUUAGUUGUAUAUAGUUAUUACUGUAUUCGUCGAUCGAUAAAGUGUUUGGACCAGUACAGCUGAGUCUAAAUACUGUGGCCGGACGAAAGCGUGAAACCAGACGACGGGGUUCAACUUUUGCAUUUGAUAUAAUUUUAACUACUGCAGUUGCUGAAGAAUCGAAUUAUUCAGUUAAAACAAACAAAAUAAAGAUAUUUUUAAACUACUAGAUUAAAAAAUUAUGGAUAUAAUAGCUGUAAUUGUUGUAUUUCAACUAUAUAUACUUUUAAAUAUUGUAUUUAUAAUUAUAUUCACAAAUUCGAUAAGGACACUCGAAAACUUGCCACAAUCCGACAAUAAAAAGGGAAAAAUAAUUAAGAACACAGUUUUACAGACACACAUAUUGUAUAAUGCUCGAAUCUCAAAACAGUGAUGAACAAUAAAUUUUACCAUCUUAUGGUGGGCAUGGUCCUCAUAAAAGCUGUGUUCAACAAUGGAAAUACUAAAUUUAACCUAAUUCAAUCACCAUAUAAAAUAUAUUAACCAUGUUUUUAUGGAGUUGGACGGAGAAAAAGUAUCAUUAGACAUGAAUCUUCUUAAAGAAGAUGAACUCAAUUAUUUAAUCUGGUCCAAUUAAAGUAUGCAUCAAAUGGACUAUUGGAUCUUUUUUUUUUGUAAGUAAGUGCUAUAAUUAGGCUACACUAAUACCUAUUACUAUAUAUAGGCAACUAAUUAAUUAUGUGAGCUCGUAUAGAUGUUUUUAACUUAAUUUGAAGAAAAAUAAUGCAUUUUAAAACCUCAUUUUUUCAUAAUUAUUCUCCAACUAAUCUAUAUAAUAACCAUAAUUAAUUUGAGGAGAACCCUCCACCAACCCUUUGAUGAGUCGUGCCCACAAAAAUUUUGGAAAGUAGGCGUGUAAGGUGAGAGAUCACCUCUCUUCUUUAAUUUCUAUUAAUAAUUAAUUGAUUAAUUAACUAAAGCAUGAAAAUUUUAAACUCUCAUCACGAUGCGUGUCGCAGUUUACAAACUAAGCUGCAACAAAUUUAUGAAGUUUAAGAACUAACAUAAAACUCUCACAAUCUAUAUAUAGUUUGAUGAUCGUCCCUGUAUACUACCCAUUUUUGUACGAGUUCCAUCGAUCAUUAAACUCCGCAUUGAAGCACAAACACAAUUUUAUGGUGUUAAUAAGUGUUAGAUUAUUGAUUAUUAAUUAAGUUAUUUAUAUUUGAAGAGCAUCUUAUGUUUCAACAAUUUUUUGUUGUUAAUUAAUUUAUGACCCAUGUAAUUAAUUAAUUAUAUGGUUCAAUUAAUUACUUAAGGCACAAUUAAAUUAUACAUAAGUCAGAAUAUUUUUAUACUUACAUGCUUUACACAAUAUUAUGUUCAUUGAGUUUUAAACUCACAAGCAAUAUUAUGGCAUGAGUAAAAGCACGCUUAUGGUUAUGGGUUAAGAUCACAUUUGAAGAGAAAUAUUAGUAAUUAUUCAAUAUAUUAUAAUUUAUAUUUGGUCUUUUCCCAAGAAAAAAGCUCAGUUUUGUUAUUCCAAAGCUUUUCCUAAUAACUAGUUUUAGACUUAAUUUGGCUUCUUUACGCCAUUGUAAAAGCGAUUCAUUUCGAGCAAAACUUUAAUUCGUGGUGCAGUGCACGAUAGAAAACUAUAAUCUGCAAAAGCUCUAAAAUUAGAUUUUCUUGUGAGCUGUGAUGCGCUGUGUUUCUAAAUUUUGAGCCAUUUUUUGUAUCGUAGUGUAUGACAGGGCGGUGCGUUCCUAAAUCGGAAUGCACUGUGAGACUAAACAAACUCUUAUUAGACUUAUUUGUCAAAAGCUUAGAUAGUGCUUUACAUAAUUAACAAGCCAUUAUAAAUGCAAAGAUAAAAGAGAACUAAUUAAUGAUCCUAAUCAUAGUAUUCUAUGAUUCUAUAAAUAAUAAAACCCUUCAAUGGUAAUUAAACAAACCAUGGCUAAGCUCGUGAUGAUCACUCUCAUGACCCUCCUCUCCCUCUCCCUCUUCAUCACAGGCACGUGUACAUCAAUUCUCGUGUCGAUGAUCACCAUAACCGAGUUAUAUGAUCCCCAUGCACGUGCAUGCAGGUACGUUCGGGAUCGACGGCUACGAUUUUCCCGAAAAGGGAUCGGCCACGGUGGCCGCAGAAGUAUCCGAGGUGGGGAACGCCACUACGCUCGAUGUGUUCAAAAGGUGCCUGGCGUGCCGCUGUUGUAUUGGCGACGGACGAUUCUGCUUCAACACCAAGUGCUGCUACCAGAUUUAUUGCAAAAUCCCCGGACAGCCCCCCGACAAGUGCUUUUUCGUCGCCAAGAAAUGCGGCUGCAAUUCUUGCUACUGAUCGGAACGGUCGAUACUUUUAUAUUUUUAAUAUUUGAGGGGACUGUCCCGAUAUUGUGACUUGGUCUCUCUAGUUUAUACUUUUAUAAAAACUUUAUGUGCUGAUAUAUAUGUUUUAAUAUAUAUAUUAUUAUUACACUCUAGUUCCUGAAGUUUAAGGUAAAAUAGUAAUUUUCCUUUGAUAACUAUAUUAUGGAUAUAUAUAAAGUUCAAAAUAUGAUCAUGAUAAUUAAAGUUCAAGCCUUAAGUUUUAAUGAAAAGGUUAAGGUAGGGAUAUAUAGAACAGGGAUUUUUAACUAUGUAUAUAGCAUAUUAAUUGUAUUUUUAAUUGAUCAGAUCACUAUUAAAUUCCGUUCGAUUCAUAUUAUAUUUUUUUUUAAAAAAAAAGAAAUUGCUUGUAAAAUAUUUUUUAAAAAAAUUUGAGGGUACUUCCCAGGUUAAUAUCUCAUCUAUAAUAGGUGAUUAUUUAAGAUUGGAAUUAAGCAACUCACAACUACUUAAGUUUCUUUAUUUUUUGUGUAAACUAGGGUGAUAGUUUGAUAAAUUUCCUUUGUGGUAGUUUCUUGUUGAACUCCUCAUAACCUUAUUUAAAUUUCUUUGCAACUUUAGCAAUUUUAUUGGAACUAUAGUACAUGAGUCUAAAUUUGGUGUAGUUUGUAUACCAAAUCCAUAAAAAAUAUCACAAAAAUCAAAAGUAAAUAUAUAGUGAGGUCUAAUGAAAAAUCCAUUAAUUGUAUUACUUUUUAUAGAAAAUAAAAAGGUAAAGCCCAAGCCCAUAAGUCCAGAUAUUUUAAGGCCUCAAUAAUACGGCCCGGCCCGUUACUUGCAUUAUAUAUAAGAAAAAAAUAUUUCUCGCACACGGCGCACUGAAAUAAACCUCAUAGUGAGAAGUGACUAGUGAGAACUCGAGCACCUAACCACUGAACUAUUAUUAGGUUUGGUGACUAGAAAGGGUUGCUUUACCAUAACAUAUUCCCUAAUCUCCCUUUUGGUUUUUGUUCUUGUUUUUGUCUUAAAUGAAUGUUUGGUUCUUUUUAAGUGAGUCACUUUAUUGGUGAAAAGUUAAAAUGGUAAAAAUUAUAUUUUCUUUUUUAUUUUGACGGUCAAGAUAGUAUAAUACAUGUGAAAGUUCAGAGAUUAAAUUAUCUAAUCGACAUAUUUUAGUCUAUUAACAAAGAUUUCAAUUUUUGAUUGAAAAAAUUGCUUCUUUAAAUUUUUUUUUUUCCCUAAAUGUGUGUCUAGUUUAUUAGAUUAAUUAAGUCAGUCAUUUUACUGGUGAAAACUUAAAACGGUGAAAAAAUGGAUUUUUUUUUUGACCGCUAAGACAAUAUAAUACAUGUAAAAGUUCAGAAAUUAAAACAUCGGACCAAUAUCAUAGAAUACAUUUUAUCUUUUCAUAUCUUACAAAUGAUAACCAUUUCAUGCAUUAAAAAAUUCAACAAUUUUUUAUUAUUAUUACUAAUACUCUGUAUAAAUAAAUUCAACAAGAAGAUCUUUUGUUUUAAGAAAAAAAUAGCUAGUUACUCGGUUUGCUCAAGAAACGUGAAACUAUUAUGUUUCGAACUUGAAAUCUCAUAUGUCAAAUAUCAAGUUCUUAGUUAACUACGCGAGAUACGAUAUGUGUAAUUCAACCAUUCAAAUAAUUUUUUUUUUCCAUUUUUUGAGCAAAUAUUAAAAAUUUCAAAAGUGAUCAUCAUUUGAUGAAGUCGGUGUGGGUGGGGCACGACUUGACAGUAGAAGUCGGCGACGAGUAUCGGUAGUGCGCCGAAAUUGAUGGCAAAUAUGAAAUCCGCCACCGCCACUCUCACGCGUGAGUGACCAAAUGUUGGGCUCUUCCUUUUUCUUUUCUCUUCUUUUCUUUUUUUUUUAAAAAAAAAUUAAAUGGAGAUAAAUUAAAUUAAAUUAGACACGUCAAAAUCAUUACGAAAUCAUUCAUCAUGCAUUACGUAACGACCGUGUUGACCGGUUAGAUCCAUACCUUAACGUACGUACUAGGGCCGAGUAAUAACUUUAUUUUUAUUUUAUUUAAGUUUGAUUUAAAAAGUUUUAAACUAAAAACUUUGGUUUAGUUUUGAAUUUAAGAAAAAAACAAUCCAAACAGUGUAUAAACAUGUAUAUAUAUACACACACACACAAUCACUUAAUUUAUAUUUGAACGUGUUUUUACUUACCAUGAUAAUUUAGUACUUAAUUUAUUUGAAUAUAUAAUCAAGAAUUUAGUAUAAAAAUGUAUGUAUAUACUCAAUCUGAAGAUUUUUUUUUUCUCCUUUUUUUGUAAUUUCUCUUACCAGGGUUCGCUUAAAUUUACUAAAUACGCCUUGAUUUAACCUCAUAAAUCUAAUCUAUACGAUGUUGGCAUUGUUUCAAAAACAUUAUAAUAAUUAAUUAUGAUGGUAACUUUAUUGUCUUAUAAUUAUGUCAAAAGAGUGAUAUUUGGAGAUAAAAUUAGUAAUUUUGAUAAAAAAAAAAAUCAUGAUGGUGACUCUAUUUUCUUACAAUUUUGUCACAAAUUAAUGAUAUGGACGUCGAAUUAGCUAGUAACCCUAAUAAACCAAAUUCGAAAGUUCGAGAACUUCGGGAAUCUAUAUCUUUUUAUGUUGGAGUUGUUUGGUUUCUUGAAAAGUCGUAAAAAAAUAAUUUCAAAAAAAAUAUUAUGAAAAACAUUAAUUCCACAGUUUUCAUUUUUUUUCUUUGGAUUAAAAACUUCGAGAAACGAAAAAGAGACUUUUUUUUUUUAUAAAAUCUGGAAAAAAAAAAGAACUUCCGAGAGAAAACUAUAUGUUAUAGAAACCAAAUGAACGAAAAAUUCUUUUCUUAUUAGAAAAUUAUUUUCUGAGAUAUUUUUGCAAUUUCGUUUAGUAUUUCGGUCCCUUUUUCACAAAAAAAAAACAUAAUUCUAUAUACGAAAUAAUGUGUAUAUUAUACGAAAUAGUGUAUCUCAGCUAUAUACGAAAUAAUGUGUUAAUCUUAAAAAAACAAGUUAAAAGUAUUUUUUUCUUUUUAUCCAACAAGCUUUAUUUUCACUAUAAAAAACUGAUAUAUUAACAAUAUUCUGUGAUAAUUUUUUGACGCAACUUACAAAUUAAAACAUAAUCACUUUAUAUUUCUAGCUAAAUUUAUUUUUUUCUAAAAAUUAAUGAAACGAACAGCAUACUUAUCUUUCUUUUAUUUUUUUAAAAAAGGAAAAAGUAUUGAAAAAUAAAAAUAAGCAUUAGUUACAAUAGAAAAAGAUCUAACAAGAAUCUUUAUUUUUGGCCAUUAUUUUGGAACAAUUCAAGCUGGGGUGGCACAAAAUGACAAGAGAACAUGGAGAGGUUGGAAUGUUCUACAACCCUAUUAGGGAGCUUUUCCCAUGCACAAGCCAUGUGAAUAUAACAUUGGAACCCUAGUUUAGUAGCCCCACCACCUCCUAAAAGAGGAUAUCAAAAAAUAAUCCAAAGGAUAGGGACAACACAAAACUUUCUUUUUUUCUUUUUUUCUAAUUUGAGGUCCCCAUAUAACAUAUUCAAAUGGGGAUCAUCUUCAACUUUUUUUUAGCUUUUUUUACUAGUCCACACCAUAGUUAGUUAAAUUCGCAAAUUAUUCGCGAACUUUUGAAGAAACGAAUUAAACGGCCGUAUUCGUAUUUUUUCAAAAAAUUCACCAAAAAAACGUUUUUUUGGGUAAAAAAUACUUAUUCGCGAAUAAUUCGGGCGCCCCGAAUUAUUCGGCCAAAAAGACACACGCUCACGAUCGCGCUCGUGCGCGGGUCGCGGGCCUCGCGGCUCGCUCGCGAGCGCUAGUGCAAGCGCUCGCGCUCGCGCUCACGGCUGGCCCAAAACAGAAAUAAAAAAAAAAAAAACCCUGUUCCCCCGCCCAAAACAGAAGAAAGAAACCCCCCAAAGAAAAAAAUUACUCAAUCAAAAAAGUUUAAUCUCUUAUGUACUAUCUUAAUCUCUUAUUUACUUAAUUAUUUAUUUAUUUUGAGGCGUAAUAUAAUUAGCUAUUUUUUUUACUUAAUUAACUUAAUUUUGUAGCUAUUUAUUCUUAUAUUCUUAAGAAAUAUGAAUAUUUAUGCUAAUAGCAUAAAUUUUGAGAGAAAAAAAACUUAAUUUAAUAGCCGAAUUUUUUAUACCGAAUUUUUAAUUGGUGAACGUAUAAUAUCUGUAUAAAUCAUGUAUCCGAAAAAUUGACAAAUCCGUUUUUUAGCCGUAUUUUUCAACGAAUAUAAAUGUUAGAAGAUAAAUUUUAUCCGAAUUAUAUCCGUACCGAAUUUGUGCCGAAUCCGAAUUAACUAACUAUGUUCCACACAAAUUAAAUUUGUUGCAGGGAGUGAUCAAGUGUGUGUGUUGUUUCAUUUUGAACAGGAAAAAGAAAAUUAAAAUUAAAAUUUUAUUUUAUAUGGUUGUUGUUUUUGCUUCUGCAUGUCUCAACUACAGCCGUUCGAAAAUUUUACUAAAAGUAUUAAAAGAUAUUUUUUUGAAGAAAACUGUCUAUUUAAUUCGAUAGACGAUUUAGGGCAUAUUUGUUUGUCAAAAGUGGAGAGAGGUGAGUUAUUUUCGACCGCAAAUGUCUGUUUUCAUUGAUUGAUUCAUCCUAAGUUAAAUUCACUUGUUAUUUCAACUUUUCAAAAAUAUACCGUAAUUAACUUCGCGCUGGGUAGUGCCAAAGUCAAUUAGGAAAAAAUACAUAUAAAAGUAAGGGGAAACUUCAAAUAUCCCCUGUAGUUUCGCACUUUCUCAUUUUAGUACCCUGUGGUUUCAAAUGUAUCAAAUUGGUAUAUCCUGUGGUUUCGUACUUUCUUACUUUAGUACCUUGUGGUUUAAUAUUUCGUUAAAUUAUAUACCCCCGAAAUGGAUAAUAAAAAGAAAAAAUUGAGACCACAGGGUAUUAACUUGAUACAUUUAAAACCACAAGGUACUAAAGUAAAAAAGUGCGAAAUCACAGAGUACUAACUUGAUACACUUUAAACCACAGGAUACUAAAGUGAGAAACUGCGAAACCACAGGGGGGUAAUUUGAAGUUUCCCCUAAAAAUAACAAAAAUAUGAAUCAUUGUAAAUUUUUUCAUUCUUGUGAUACUAUCCAGUAAAAUAAAUAAAAAGUACCGACCAUCUCUAUUGCAACAGGCAAAAGCCUUGAUAAUUAGUAUCUAAGGUCUCUAAGUUUGAAACUUAUUUGCUUCGCAGUUUUAGUUAAAAAAAGAAGUAAAAUAAUUUUCUUUUGAUAGAAAAAAGAUAAGAUCACUACAAUUCCGAAGCUAUUUACUUUCUAUUAAACAAACAGCAUUAAAAAAAGAUUAUCUAAACUUUAGUUCAAUCGAAGUCAUUUUCAAUCUGAAACCAUGGUGAUGAUAAUGGUGACCAAAUAGAAAGAAAAUAGCCACCAAUUAAUGCUUGGUUAAACAUGCAUUGAUGUUGUGGAAGGACAUUUUGAUUCUCUGUACAUGAGAGGACUUGUCACAGUGGAAAUAUUUCUGGUCUCCAUAAAGGAUCAAAUAAAUAUAAUAUUGUUAAUGUAUCAACAAACCUAUAUGUUAUUCUAAAUUUUUUUACAAAUUAAUAAAAAGUCCCUGUAUUAUAUAUACCAACAUAUCAAUAAUAAUAAAAAUAAUAUUUAUGUAAGUGGCAAAGGGUUUGGUGGUUGGUAUCCGAGACCUAAGUUCAAAUACUAAUUGAUUCACAUUUCCAGCUAAGUUUAUUUCUAAAUAAAAUAAACGAAGCGGGUAGCAUGCUACCUAUCUCUCAAAAAUAAUAAUAAUAAUAAUAAUAAUAAUAAUAUUUAUAUGAUAUAUUGAUAAUCGGGAUGGAACCAAGAUUUUUAUAACAAAGUACAAUAUAUAAGGCACAAACUUUUUACAAAAAUAAAAUAAAAUUAUCUUGACGCCUAAAAUUCAUAAUAUUUUAAAUUUUACUGUAUCAUAAUUAGGAAUUGUUAUGUAAUUUUCAAAAAGUUGAGGAGGACAAUGGCCAUUGUCGGCCUCUCAAUAGCUCAGUCGGUGGUUGAUAAAUUCUAUCUUUACGUUGUUUUCGAUUGCAUGUAUAAAAAAAAACAAAGAUCUCCAUCUCUUAUACGCAAGUAUAUCAAUUAUAUAUAUAUAUAUAUAUAUAUAUGAAGGAAAAAUUUCAAAAACUACCCUGUGGUUUCGUAUUUUCUCACUUUAAUACCAUGUGGUUUAAAGUGUAUCAAUUUGCCCCCUCUGUGGUUUUGUUUUUAUCUUUUCUAUAGCUUUUUUCUUAAUAUUUCGUUAAAUUAUAUACAAAAAACUUCAGAUAUCCAUCUAGAUUUACCAAAUAUUUACUUUAGUACCUUUAAUUUUAAUUUUGUCACUGAUUUAAGAAAAAAAUAAAAUAAAAUUGAUAAAAAAAAGAGAAAAACGAAACCACAAGGGGGCAAAUUGAUACACUUUAAACCACAGGGUACUAAAGUGAGAAAGUACGAAACCACAGGGGGUUUUUUGAAGUUAUCCCAUAUAAGAAUAGCACUUUGAAAAAUCUGUAUCAACGAUGCAAAAACAAUUAUAACUAUUCAAAAAUAAUAGUUUAAAUAUAAUUAGCAUUUGUGUUAGCUCGAGAUAUUUUGAUAGAACCAAACUGUGAAAUAUUUUCGAGACGUUGAGUUAAAUUAAAUAUAAGAAAAAUUAAUAAUACUACAAAUUCCCAUGAAAUUUGAAUCCAGGGAAAAAAAAAAAAAGUUGCUAGAAAAAUAUUUCAAUCAUUUAAAAAGGGACCAUCCUUUCUCAUUAAGAAAAAAAAAACACUAGGAUAAGGGAUAGUACACACAAAAAAAUAAUUUCUUUUUUGAGGAUUUUUUNGUAAAAAUAUAUAUAUAUAUAUAUAUAUAUAUAUAUAUAUAUAUAUAUAUAUAUAUAUAUAUAUAUAUAUAUAUAUAUAUAUAUGUCUUUGUAAGUUUUUUUUUUUCUUUUAUUUUUUUGGAAGGAACAAGUGCUCUCUCAUUAAUGUUCUGUGGCCAAAGACUAAGUCCAAAAUGUAUAGGGUCCCAAAAAAAUGUGAUUCAUGGGUGAAUUGGACCAUGUAACCAACAUAAUUGUGUGACACAACUAAAGCUUGCUAACUUUUUGUCUUGUUGCUUUGCUAUGUUACUCUCUCAAAAAGUUGGAAUCCAGCUUUUUUAUAUUAUUUCUCACAGUUAAACAUGAUAAAUACUAUGAUUAAAAAAAAAAAAAAAACCUUUCAUAAAAUUUUACAAAUUUCCAUUGGUGGGCAUACUUAGUUGAUAAAAUGAUAUCUCAUUAUUAUCAAGUGAUGGAUGUGAGUUACAAGGCCAAUAAUGAAACCCAACCAUUAAAUUUCAUAGUUUAUAAAAUAUUCUAAGAUUUUAGAUCAGGAUAAUUUAAUUUAUUUUUUUUAUCAAGUUUUGGAAUACCUUUCAAUUGUAGCAAAAAGUAGAAAUUUUAAACAAAACAUGUCAAAUUUCAUAGCAAAAAUUUGACAUGUUUUGUUUUAGAGAAGAGAAAUUAUUCAAACAAACACUAGUACACCAUACAACUAUAUGUGAUAAUGUGAUUAAUUUUUUUUUUUAUUGGUGUCAUGCACUAUUUUUUAUGUAUAGCUUAUGAGCAAGACAAAAAGUUAGGCUUACUAAUUGCAUAAAUACCAACAAAGUAGUCUUAUCAAUUGCAUUUUUCUUAAUGGUUUUGUACCAUCAUCUUGAUAGUGUAAGAACUUUUAAAAAUUAUACAUUGUUUUUGGUUGUUAAAGAUACCAAAGAAAUUUUUGCACUUCAAUAUCUAACACGCGACUCAUCUGAGAGAUGCACAAAUAAAAAUAAAUAAAUAAAAAUACCGAAUUUAAGUAUCUUAUCUUAAAGUAAUAUUAAAAAGCUGAGAAUUCGAUCAGUGAUUAUACCUUUAUUAAAAUAAGAUAUAGAUUAUAAUUUUUCAGAGACCGAGUUCUAAAAUUGAAGUCUAUAAACAUGUUCAAAAAGAAAAAGAAAUUUAUUUGUGGCUAUUGUACAUAAAUUGCACAGAGAUUAUUAUUUUUUAAAAAAAUUUUAAGUAAAAUGAAUGGUUAAAUAUGAACAAAUCAUGUGGAUCAUCAUGAUGCAUGCAAUCUAAUAAGACAAAUUUUUGGGAGGUUUUGAUUGCCAGUUAGAAUGCUCACAAUUACCUCUUUGCCACUCCUAAGUAUAUAUAAUUAUUUUAUUUAAUCAAAAGCAACUUUGAUUAGAAAACCUCUCACCAAAAAUGGGAUUAAUAAAAUACUUAUUUAUCCUCUCUUUUGUCCUAAUGAUAAAGUUCAUUAAUUAAUUAUUUCCCUUAUAGUUAAGCCAAAAAAUAAUCUAAUGUAGUGGAAUUUUGAUUUACUUACUAUGGAGAGAAUUUUUCACAUUUGAGGAUUGUUUUUUUUUUUUUUUGGGUGAAUUGAAACGAUCGAAGCAGAGUUCGAUUAUGAUUUUUUUUUGGUCCUUUGAUUAAUACAUAACUAUUUAAUUUAUGAUGAACUAGCGAUGAAAAUAUGCAGAGUUUAACUACACUAGAAAUCGAGUUUUGCAAAAUCCAAAAAAUGAUAUAAAUUAAAUAACUCACUGUAUAAGCUUUUGAUUAAUGCUUCGCGGUUGUUCUUUAAGGUGCUAUACAUUAUUUACCAAUAUAUCAACAACACAUAAACUCCCAUUUAUGAUUAAUAGUUCACGAGUACUCUUUAUUGACUAAUCAAUAUAUUAUUAUUAGUCUAAGCACAGGAUAUAUUAGUGAUAUAUUAGUCCUAGUACUCCCUAAAUUGUCCAAUGGUACUUUAAUAACAUAUCCUGAUGAUUAUAAUAUUGGAUUAUUGUAUCAUUAAGCCAGCAUAUUUGGAUAUUUAAUUACUGAGAUUACUAGGUAAGUCACUCUGAGCCACUAAUUAUGAUGACCACAUAUCCCCACUGAAACCGACCAUGGACCUCCAAAAAAAUAAAAACAAAAAAAAAAAUCAUUGGUGCUUAUCCCCACCAUCCUUAUUUUCAAACCCCACUAAUCCUUAUUAAAUAUAUAGGGAAAAAUGUACAAAUAUAUAGACUUUUAAUUUCAGCAGUUAGACUCGUAAAAUUUUAUCCACUAAUUUAAUAGAUCCAUCUCCGAGAGAAAAGUUGCUAAUUGAAUAGUCGUUCUGAUCGAGUAUCAGUACAUAAUUUUGUACAACUUCGAAACACAGAAAAAUUUAUUUAGUCUUUUCAAAUUAUGAUAUGAGCAUGAGAAAUUUAUUUAGCUUUAGAAUGUUAUUUGCAAUGCAAGCGACUAAAUUUAACAAAGUUUAGAAAGUUUAAUUAUCAAAAUUAAAAGUUACAGCAUAAUUUGCAGAAGUGUUAAAUGUGAGGGGCCUCUGUACAUUUUCUCUCAGAUAUUUUUAUUUUAAGUUUCUCUAAUUUUGUCAUGUGGCAUGAAUCUCCAAGCCACUAACCUUAAAUUGGAAUUGGUAGCAAAUUAUUUUAUAUUUUAUUUUAAAUAAAUCUUCUAUUUGAUUAAAUUGUGAUUUUGUAUUAAACUUAUUUAAAAUAUAAAAUAAUUAGAUUUUGAAUUUGAAAUUUCGAGCGUCAAUCUACAUAAUGUUUACGUACAGCUGUUGCGCAUUGAUUCUAACAGUUAAAACUAUAAAAUUUUAUUAUAAAAUUACAUAUUUAAUACUAUUUUAUAGUAAGUGAUUAUAAAAUGUUAGAGACUUUGUCUAAAUGUAGAAUAGGUCAGGGACUAAAAUGCAUUUUUACACUUUUUUAAUCUUCGAAGGAAAGAAACACUAUAGACCCAUCAUUAGCCAUUCCAAUUAUUAUUAUAUAAAAUAAUAUUUUCGCGCACAUUUUCUCAUCGUGCGCACGCGCGUAGCACGUGCUUUGUAAUUACCGAAAUACCCCGAGGGCAUUUCCGUACAUAGGUGGGGUAUAAAUGAAGCAUCCCACUUGCUGAUGCUCCUCGUCCCCGACUCAACCCGACUUCCCCACUCUUGGACCCCUCCGGAACCCUAUAUCCGGCGGUCGGAACCCUAGCCCCGGCGAUCGAUGACGAAGGUCCAUCCCAACGCUGCUGCGCCGGAGACUAAGAUCCCGACCGUCUCCGGCGACGGCGCCGCCGUGGCUCUGACGGUGUGGCGGAGGUCGCUUUUGUUCAACGGGAAGGGGUUCACCGUGUUCGACGCGAAGGGGAACCUCGUGUUCCGCGUCGACGACUACGCGUCGGGGAGCCGGGGCGAGGUCGUCCUCAUGGACGCCGCGGGGAAUCCGCUCCUCACCAUCCGCCGCAAGGUAAAAUCCCUACCUAGCUAGCUUUCGAUCGAUCGAUCUCGGGGUUUUGAUCCCGUUUCUACGUUUUUUAAGAUCGAUUCGAUCGUCGUUGUGUCCCGAUCGAAUUUCUCUCUAAAACCCUAAAACAAUCCUUAAAUCCUUUCAAAUCCCCUCCCUAAACUCGUUCGAAUCGUAGUAAUUCGCAGCUUUAAUCAAACGAAAGAAAACAACGAACUAAUGAAAAUCAACAAAUCUCAACGGAUUUCGCGUUACCUUGCCGCAUGCAGAAGCUGAGCCUGAGCGAGCGCUGGAUCGUGUACAAGGGCGAGGAGGUCGGGGGCGAGCCCCUCUUCUCCGUGCGGAAGCACGUGACCCUGCUCCCCUCGCCGGCGCUGGCGCACGUGACCGGGGGCUACGCGGUGGAGGGGUCGUACGCGCGGCGGAGCGUGGCCGUGUACGACGCCUCGCGGCGCCCGAUCGCCGCCGUGGAGGCCAAGGGCGCCGCCGUGGGCCCCGACGUGUUCCGCCUCGUCGUCGCCCCCGCCUUCGACGCCGCCGCCGCCAUGGCCAUCGUCAUCCUCCUCCGCUCCCUCAUUCUCCCCCGGUAAACCACGCUAGCUGUAAUCCCACCACAAUCCUUUUUGAAUUUGUAGACUCAUCACCUCCGCACCACAUAUAUACUAAUUAAGCUCACCAUGGUUGCGGCGGUUGUUAUUAUUAUUAUUAUUAUAUUAUAUUAUAUGUAUUAAGUAUUAACUCUCUCUUGCAUCCACUCUCUCAUCCUCAUGUGUGUGAUGUGUGAUGUGUGAUGUGCGAUGAGAAUGGGAUGGUUAAAAAUAUAUACAUACAUAUAUAUAUAUUUUCUUAUUUUUAGGAGAAGGAAAGGCCAUCAUGUAUUUUUGAUGCUUCAUGUAAGCCCUGGAAGCAUUUCUUCUUCUUUUUUUCUUUUUUUUUCUUUUUUUUUUCUUUUGUGCUUAUUGAGCGCGAAGGAAGUAGGAAAUAUGCUGUGCCGUCAAAAUAUUUUCGAUAAAUUUCUUAAACUUUUGUAAUCUUAUUGUCGUGGAUACAACUAUACAAGUUCGGUUGUAAUUUAACUUUUUCCGAACGUCGUAAUCAGUUUUGCUCUAACCGGAUGGUUUGUUGUAAGAAUGGCAUAGUUCAAAUCUGUUUUAGAUUGCAGAUAAUUUUUUGGGUACACUUCAAAUAACUUCUUUACGGUUUCACAUUUUCUCACUUUAAUACCAUUGGUUUAACGUGUAUCAAGUUAGUAUUCUGUUAUUCUAUUUUUUUUUUUUUUAUUAUCCAUUUCACUAAUUUUUUUCGUUAGAUUAGUGACAAAGUUAAUAUUAAAAGGUACUAAAGUGAAUAUUCGAUAAACCUAGGUAGGGCAUCUGAAGUUUUUUGUAUAUAAUUUAACGAAAUAUUAACGGAGGAAAAAAAAAUCAGUGACAAGUUAAAACUAAAUUAGGCUACAAAAUAAAUAUUCGAAUAAUCCAUAGAUACGGGUAUCUUGAAAGUUUUUGUACUAUCUAAUUUAAUAAAAUAUUAACAAAGGGAACCGAUCGAAAAGAGAAAAAUAAAAACUACAGAUACUAAAUUUGAUACGCAUUUAAAGCUACAGUCAUGAUUAAAGUAAGAAUGCUGAAAUCUAACGGAUAUACCAAAUUGAAUAGCAUUUUAGAACUUAGAUUACUAAUAUCAAAAAAGGUACAAAAUUAUAGUGGGAAGUUUUUUUUUUUUUUUUUUUUUUUUUUUUUUGGUGGGGGUUAGAAAUGUUCAGUCGUUUCUAACUUUUGUCGAGUCGCUGAAAACGAAGCCUAAGUAAACAUACAGUGGCGGCUGUUGCCAUCGCUUUCCGUGUAAUUAACGUAAGGGCCAAAACGCGUGGCCUUUAGGUUCUUCAAUCGUAGUUAUAUUAUAUUAUUAUUAUACAUUAUAUUAUAUUGUCACCUGUAAUAAAUAGCCACACAACACUUACGCAAUUUUGCUAAAAAAUAUGUGCUCCAUUUCAUCCAUUUGCUACCGCAGACAAAAAAAAAAAAAAGAAAAAAAGAAAAAAUCUAUCGAUUCCACGCACCGAAAAAAAAUCUGGUGAUUCUGACAUUGAUUUAGACGUAAUUUGAUAAUAUGACUAUAAUUAUAAUUUUACCGUAUAAAAAAAAGUAAAAACAUUUUUUGAUAUAUUUUUAUAAAAUAAAAAUAAUAUUUUCAACCACCGUAUUACCAAAACGGACUUUAGAGACAUACUCCUACUUUCACUUUUUAUGUUGAUCUUCUUGUUUUACUGAAAAUUAUUAUUGAAUAAAAAUGAAAUCAACUGAAGCCAAAUACAAAUGCAUCCUUCCCAACCCAUUAAUAUGUUAUAUAUUAUUUCGAUUAUCCAUCGGAAUUGCUCCUCAAUGUCUCAUAUACAAAAGAGUUUCAGCGAUGAGUCGAUGACACAAACAAACAUCAUGAAUUAUUAUGUGUAUAAAUAAAUAAUAAGAGUUCCACUAUGGUGCUUUUAAAAGCACCAAAUAUUUCGUACUUGUAAUUAAUUUUUCACCGUUAAAUUUAUUUUUUUGACUGAAUCUAUCUCUUAAAUUACACUAUUCUACAAAUUACUUGUUUAAUCGUAAGAAACCACUAUUAUUCUAACUCUACAAACAUUCAUUCAAAGACCGAAAAUCUAUAAGCACCAAUGACUUGAUACUUUUAAAAGUAUAUGAGCUCAAUUCUAUAUAAUAAUAAUAAUAAUAAAAAUUAUGUAGCUUUGCAUAUUUAUCAUAUAAUAAAAUAUAGCGUAACCAUGGAACAUGGGCUAAAAAUUUGACUUAGCAUAACCCAAAAAGCCGAGAAGAAUCCGGCCCAACAAAUAUUUUAAUUCAGGCGUGACGUGGCACUAGAUUAUGAAAUGGGACACUUCACCCAACCUCAACCCUGCAUCAAAAUUCGUGAAGAUUGUAUUAGUUGGUAUCUAGUAAUAAAUAAAGAGCAAUACACACCCUAUAGUAUAGAGGUAAAAUUUACAUUCUAGUAUUUUUUCUAUGUGGCCCAUAUUUUUUUUCACUUAUAUUAUCACAAAAAACCUUUUUAACUAAAACUGUCCACAAAUUUUAUGAACUUUUUCUUCGUUUAAGAUGUAAGAAGCAAAAUAAGUCAUUAUUCCUUCUUUGUUAUAUCCAAGCGUUAUUUUUGUUAUAGUUAUUCACGAUUAAGAAUAAUGGGAAAUAAGAGUGGAACAGAUAUUUCACUCUCGCACCGGAACAAGCUUGUUCCAAAGUGGGAACAAGCUUAAUUAAAAUUUAAAUCUAAUUUUAAUUUUUGUAUUAAUUUAUUAAUUAAUCUAAUUAAUAUAUUUAAAUCAUUAUCUACUGCUUAAAGAGUUAAGUAAUCAAUUAAUUUAUCAUUUAUGGUUAAUUAACUCAUUAAAAAUUAAUUAUUUAAUCUGUUUAUCUAAUAAAUAAUAUUUAUAUUGCUCAGCUAAUUAAUAUUUUGACUAAUUAAAUUAAUUUUCUUAACAAAUCAUCUAACUAAUUAAAUAAUUUACUAAUUAAUUAAAAAGUUAAGUUAUAUUUUAUAAUUGAUUAAAUAAUUAAUGUAAUUAGUUAAUUCAUUAAUAUUUUUUUAUUAUCUUAUGCAAUAUUCAUAGCUAAUAAUUUUUUAAUUUAUUAAAUUAUUUUUAACUAAUAUUUUAAUAGCAAUUAAUUAGAUAAAAUAUUAUUAAUUUAAAAUUAUAAUUACUUUUGUUCUCGCUAUUCCAAUCAAAUCAUCUAAACACUAUUAUCUUAUUCCUGCAAACAAUCUAAUUUUCACCCAAACGAGAAAUUAUUCUUAUUCCUACUUAUUUUUUAAAUUGUACCUACAAUAAAAAAAGGUGUAUAGCGACAUUUUUAAAUGUUGGUACAUGUCAAAAAAAGUGUUGCUGGUUAAAUUACCGACACUUUUUAAAGGUAUUGCUAUAUGUGAGGUCGCUAUAUAUAAGACCGUCUUGAUGUUUGGCACCCACUCCUUCAACGACCUGCGGCAAAGAGACAUGUGGCAAUUGUAGUCCUCUACAGUCCCUGCGAGAUCCUCGCGGCCGAACUCCAGCCGCCGGAACCUUAUCCCGUCGGCUGCGGCGGCGGAGGAGGAGAAGGGGCCAGAGAUGGUGAUCAAUUUUUUUUUUUCUUUUCUAUUUGUAAUCAGACCGAGUGGGCUGGAUGGGGUUGGUUAAGUAGAGAAACUUUUUGUUUGUGAUUGGAUUGGGUUUUAGAUUUAGGUCUUAAUAGAUUUUUUAAAAAAGUUUGACAUAAAUGAUACACUUAUAUAAAAAUGUUCUAAAAAUAUAUCUCUAUAAUCUAAUUCUGUUGUAGUAAAUAAGUAAUUUUUGUUUAUUCCUGAACCACACAAUAUGUAAGUAUAAGCUGUGUAUUCCUAUGCCGGGUGUAGGGAUUAGCAUUUUAAAUAAACAAAUAAGUUAAAAAUGUAUGGAAACCCCUUUAAUUUUUUUACUUCUUUGAUUGGUUCUUUCUCUAUUUUUAAAUUUUUGUAAUCAAAUAAUUUUUAUCAACUAAAUUAGAAAUUUUAUUAAUGCACAAGUAAUAUUAUCAAAUUUAAUAGUUUGUUUAUUUUUUAGCAGAUAAAAUUAGAAAAAUUCAAACAAAUAUCUAAUAGAAUUAAGAAAUUAAUUUUUAAAAAAAUUAAUUGCGAAAAGUUAAAUAUAAAAUUUGAAAGGUGAGGAACCUCAACUCUAAAAGAGAAAAAAAAAACAUACUGGACUUACCUGCACCGUAAACCAUUCUUAGUUAUAGCUACCCAACUUUUUAAAAUUUUAAUUUUACUAUCCAAUCUUUUAAUUUAUUUGAUUUAAGUCGGUCAACAACAUUUUAACUUGAAAUUUAAAUGCGUCAUUUAGAUUUUUUAGGGUUAGUUAGUAUAACUUUAUGCAAUUCACGUAAUUAUAAAUUUAUUAAAAUAAACAAAUAGUUUAAAUUUUAAAGUCAAAAUAUUGUUCACUGGCUCAAAUUAAAUAAAUUAAAAUAUUAGAUAAUAAAAUUAAAAUUUUAAAAGAUUGAAUAGUAAAUUUAAAAUGGUAUAUAAUUCAGGAAAAUUCUGUAUUAUUUUUACAAAAAAAAAAGAUGCUCAUUUAAACGAGUCUAUAGUUGAGGGGCUCUCCAUACAUUUUCAUCCUCAAUAAAUAAACCGAUGGCGGGAAAAAAAAUGGAAGCUUCCUGGAAACGCGCCACGUGUCCCCCGUGAUUCAAACUAUCUAGAUGUUACUAGCAAAUCCACGAACACGGACACUUGUGUUAACUACACACCAAAACGCUAAUGGACACAAAAACGUACCAACAAAACUACCCCAACAACGAGAAAGUAAGGCACCAAAUACUCAAAAUCCCCCUUAACUAACUAUAAUUACAUUGGCUGCGACUAGUCUAAUUUUUUUAAAUUGAAAUGAUUUUAAAUAAAUUAAUGAUUUUACUAAAUUGAUUUAUUAAUUAGUAAUAGCGAAUUGAUCCAUAAAGUUUAACAAAUUUUAACUUAAUAAACUGUUAAAAGUAAACCAAAAAAAAAAAUUUUGAGGUGGAGGGGUCAAAUUCAAGAAUCGAAAUUGUUGAGGGGAUUUUCACCUUCGUUUAAGAGAGGGGUGUUAUGUGGUAAGCGUAGUAGAGCAUCUCAAAUUCUCAAUUCUCUCAAACGGUCGAGCGAUCGCACCGUCGCCAUGGAGAAAACCAACACGAUAAAUACUCGUGCUAAUCACCUCCACCGUUCUCCCAAAUCGCACAAAACCCUAGCGAAAACUCUUAAAGGUAUCGUUUUUAUCACCUUUUUCCCGCUGUUUACUCGUGUUAAUGGUGAAAAAAUUGCGUUUGUAGUGUAAAUUUUCUCAUCUCGGUGAUGAUUUUGAUGGUGCUCUUAGGGUGUUCGACGAAAUGGGUAGCUCAGGUUCCUCAUGGAAGUUGGUGGAGAAUUCGAAGUUUCCGAAGGGGAAAAUUGUAGCAGUUGUGGUUUUGGAUGGGUGGGGAGAAGCUGAUCCCGAUGAGUUCAAUUGCAUUCACCUCGCCGAGACACCGACGAUGGAUUCGCUCAAGAAGGUAAUAUACAUAUGUGUUUGUUUGAUCGAUUCUUGUGUGCAUAGAUCAUUUUCUUUAUUGAUUUGGUUAUGGAAUGUGCUCUUGUAUUAUGGAUUAUGGAUCUCUGAAGUGUAAAAUUUGGUACUGUGAUCUAUACGGGUCUGAUUCCUGAAAAAAGGGGGGAGGGGGGAAAGUUAUCUGAUUAGUAAGUAAUUUGAUGGUUAAAAGGAGUAAAUUUGUUCUUCUUACUGUGUUAUUAUUAUAUUCUCUUACUGUUCAAUUGAAAUCUACAAGCUAAAUCAGUGCUUUUAUUAAGUUGGUGUUAAAUUGGUGGUAAUAAUCUUGGUAGUAUGGUAGUAUACUAGUAUUCAUUAGCUUAUAAAUGAAUUUUGAUGUCGUGAAUUUGGUGAUUUUGUGUUAUGAAAAUUACUGUUCUACAUAUGUGCUAAAUCACAGUAGCCAUGGAAAAAACUUCUAAGAGGUCUUAGAGAUUGUUAGUUAUUUCCUCUGAUCAUAUGAAUGGUUAUAUGAUCAGAGAGAAUAUUUUGAAGGGUAAAAUGUAUGGAACUCCCCGUUCUAGACCAAUAUCGCAAUUUCGUCCUUGAAUUUUUCACUUAAACACAUAUUCCCUCAAGUUUUUCACAAAUUGUAAUUUCAUCCUUGGCCUCUGAGACUCUCUGUAAGGGGACCUUUCUAACCCUGUUUCGACUAAAUUGAAACAAGUUAAUCAUUUUACAAAAGUAAUAAAAUGGCCAUUUGGUGGUCAUUUUACAGGAAAAGAACUUCCGGUUUUAUUUUUACAGUCAGCGAGGAAAUUUUAAUACAUGGAAACCAGAUCUUUAUGUGAAAAAUUUUAGAGACAGGACAGAACUGGACUAUUUAUAUAUUUUUCCCUAUUUUGAAUUUGAAUUUUAUACUCAUCUCAUGUAUGUAUACAUAUUAUAGCACUGUUCAUUUCCUCUCUAUGCAUAAUACUGUAAUUGCACUAUAUAAUCAUAGGGUGCACCGGAGAAAUGGAGAUUACUAAAGGCUCAUGGAACAGCAGUGGGGCUUCCUACAGAUGAUGAUAUGGGAAAUAGCGAAGUUGGUCACAAUGCACUGGGCGCCGGACGAAUAUAUGCCCAAGGGUGAACUGUGCUCUGUUUUAACAUUAGAAAUUUUUGCCAAGUUCUUCUAAUCGUUUUAACAUUCCAUUCCAAAUCAGAAAGGAUAUUCAGAUUUCAUCAGAAUGAAAUGUACAGAAGAAAUUUUCAUUUAACUCAAUGCCGCAGCUUCUUUAAAGAUAUCUUUGAUUAAAGAUAUCUUUGAUUCUUUGUUGUGCAUGUUCUCUGUACUUCGUUUUGCAAACCAAGUGAAAGUUCUUUUUCAAUUGCAGUGCUAAGCUAGUAGAUAUGGCACUUGCCUCUGGAAAGAUAUAUGAAGGGGAAGGCUUUAAAUACAUCAAAGAAUGCUUCGAUAACGGUACUUUGCAUCUAAUCGGGUUACUGAGCGACGGGGGCGUCCACUCACGGUUUGAUCAACUACAGGUGUGCAUGAAUUGUCAUGUUCUUUGAAUAACUUAGCUUUUUUUCUUUUGUAAUCCCAAUUAAUGAUGAUGUUAUAUUAUUGCAGAUGUUCCUGAAAGGUGCUUGUGUGCAUGGUGCCAAAAGGAUCCGCGUUCAUAUCAUUACAGAUGGUCGUGAUUGCCUGGACGGUACGAGUGUGGGCUUUGUAGAAAUGCUUGAGAACGACCUUGCAAAGUUAAGGGAGAAAGGCGUCGAUGCAAGAAUUGCUUCUGGUGGGGGCCGCAUGUAUGUUACCAUGGAUCGCUAUGAGGUAAGACUAGCAACUCUACAUUUACGAAUUAUCAGCUACUUGUUGUUGUUGAUUACAAUGGUUUUGGUUUUAUAUGUAAUGCUGAAGUACUUUGUGUUAAAAUUGAAAAAUUGAUUUGGUCUUAAUGCACAAUGCUUUUUGGAAACUAUACUUACAGUUGCCUUCCUACAAAUCAAUUCGAAGCAAAUUUGUCCUUUUUCUCUACUAGGGGUUAGCAUUGGUUGGUUCAGUUCAAUUUUCUAGAGAUUUCUUUACAAACUAAACAGUACCGAAUUAUAGAGAUAAAUCUAAAGAUUCUAAUAGUAGGUGGAAAAUCUUUUCAGAAAUGAGUUGGUAGCGAAAGAAAUCUCCACAUGUUUCAUAGAUUGAUGUCCAUAUUAUGUUCUACACAGAAUGACUGGGGAGUUGUUAAGCGCGGUUGGGACGCCCACGUACUCGGUGAAGCGCCACACAAGUUUAGAAGUGCUAUUGAAGCCGUAAAAAAGCUUAGAGAGGAUCCCAAAGCCAAUGAUCAGUACCUGCCUCCAUUUGUUAUAGUCGAUGAGAGUGGAAAACCAGUUGGACCGAUAAUGGAUGGUGAUGCCGUUGUGACAUUCAAUUUCAGGGCCGAUCGGAUGGUUAUGAUCGCUAAAGCUCUGGAGUAUGAGAAUUUCGACAAAUUCGAGCGCGUGAGGUUUCCGAAGAUUCACUAUGCUGGAAUGCUUCAGUAUGAUGGUGAAUUGAAGCUCCCAAGUCACUAUCUCGUUUCUCCUCCAGAGAUAGAGAGAACAUCCGGUGAAUACUUGGUACAUAACAGCAUCCGUACUUUUGCUUGCAGGUAUUAUGAUUUUCGAUAUAUGAGAAUUUUGUGCUUUUGUAGCUUAGGGCCAAUUUAGUCUGACUAAAAUUUCCGCUGAAGUGUUAUUUGAGUAGUGCUAUUAGCAUCCAUAUUUUCAGUAAAAUUCUCCCGGCUUAUUGAGCUAAGAAUUUUACGUUAACUUCUGAAGCUCUAGACUGCUGACAUUGUUUACUGAAGGGAAAACGUGAACUGCUCUUGCUCUCCUUUCGUAUACAUUGCUGAUACAUGAACACUCUAAAGUUGUCUAUUAUAUCAUUUUCUGACAGUGAGACUGUCAAAUUCGGCCACGUGACUUUUUUCUGGAACGGAAACCGUUCCGGGUAUUUCAACCCUAAUAUGGAAGAAUACUUCGAAAUUCCAAGCGACACUGGGAUCACAUUCAAUGCGCAACCGAAAAUGAAAGCCCUGGAAAUUGCUGAAAAGGCUAGGGACGUGAUCCUUAGUCGCAAGUUCCAUCAGGUGAAGUAUUUUCUGUUAGAAAUUUAAAUUUCUUUUGCGGUAAAUCUGAAUUUCGCUACCCUAUAUUUGCAGGUCCGCGUCAACCUAGCAAAUGGAGACAUGGUGGGUCAUACUGGUGAUAUCAAGGCAACGAUUGUCGGUUGCAAGGCUGUUGAUGAAGCAGUUAAGGUGUGUAUGGAUGCUCGCUAGUUAUAACUUCUUUGAUCACUAAUUCAGAAAAAAAAUAAAGUAGGUAUGCAGCGGAAACCAAACUUAGAACCUCUUGAAAGAUCCGAGGGUUUUAGGACCGACUCUGAUGCCAUACUACCCAAAAGAUCAAUUUAGUAGGAAACGGUUGAGAACUAGUUUUAAACAUCCAAUAUAAAGCAUCACGGUAGGGAUUCUUUUUGUUGUUUUUUCUUGUUCCCAGAUUGUUCUUGACGCGAUUGAUCAAGUGGGCGGGAUUUAUCUAGUCACUGCUGAUCAUGGGAACGCCGAGGACAUGGUAAAAAGAGACAAAUCUGGGAAGCCGCUGCUCGACAAAAAUGGGAAUGUUCAACUGCUCACCUCUCAUACUCUUCAUCCAGUAAGCUUAAAAGUCCUUCCUUUCUUUCUGCAUACAAUCAUUCUAUCUGAAACUGCUGGGAUCUCCUUAUUUCUAGCUUCUCGUUUGCAUAUUUCAUUAAAAGAAUGCAAAAACGUACAAACCUAUUUGAAUUAUGAAUCAUUUUGAUUUAGCUAUCCAUCAUUUCAAAAUUUUGAUUGUACUAUUCAUCUUUUUUUAAUUUGUUUGACUCGAGUCUUUUAACCGCGCUUUGACUUUUAAAAUUUAUAUGUGACACCUAUCUUUACAAGAUUUAGUUAGUAUACUUUAUAUAAUUCUCGCAACUAUAAAUUUAUUAAAAUAAGUAAUUAGAGUUUGAUCCGUAAUUCAAAUAAGUUUUGUACGUUUUUUCCUUAAAGGAACUUGGCAUUCUAAUCUCCUUAUCGUCUAACAAACAAAACCUUAAUAGGUUCCGGUUGCGAUCGGAGGCCCCGGGCUUAGACGAGGCGUGAGGUUCCGGGAAGAUUUGCGGAACGCCAGCCUCGCCAACGUUGCUGCGACAGUGAUGAAUCUCCAUGGGUUCGACGCCCCGAGUGACUAUGAACCGACCUUAAUAGAAGUCGUCGACAGCAACUGAGACAUACUAUCAAAUGAUGCAUUGACAAGUUUAAUUCCUCCUACGUUCCCGUGUGUAUAAAAUGUAAACCAGAAUAAAGUUGGUUGUUUGAAGGCAAAACCCCCUGAAGUUUGGAAAUUUUAAGAAAGUGCUCGGCUUUUAGAUCUUAUUCGAUCUUUGACUCUGGCAAAUACCUACUUCGUGUCUCAUAAAAUAAAUUUUAAGAACAUUUUAUUAAAAUUUCUAUAUAUGCCUAUCCGAAUAAAAUUUAAUUUUGCUAUUGUAGCUUUCAAAAUUUUAAUUUUGCUAUCCUAUCAGACCUUUCAAAUGUUUAAUUAGUUGUCAGAAUUAUAUAAAAUAUUCUUACUAAACUUAUAAAAAUAAACAACAAAUUCAAAAUUUGAAGAUAAAAUGUUAGUACAAUUGAAUAGUAAAAUUAAAAUUUUAAAAAAUUAUGUAACCAACUCAAAAUGGCCUAUAGCUCAGCUACAUUCUGUGUUUAUAGCUAAUGUUUUCUUUGGUUGUUUUUUGUGCGUGUGUUUGUGCGCGCGCCGCAGAGAGAGUUUGAGGCGACUACACCAACACAACACUUUCUAGAAACCCAACGAAACAACAUAUGUUACUCAGGAGACGGGGCCUGGUGGGGGUUAAAUAACUUACUUAGAAAAUGGGUUGUGCAUAAUACACAAGAUCAACCGAGGGUGUAUGAUACAUUAUAAAAGACCAUGAAAAUGUGCUGAAGUGUUUACCUAGGUUAGGUAUGAUACAUUACAUUUUCACAGUAAGAGCCAACAACGAUAUAACCAGUUUUUUUUAGCAAAACAACAGCGAAAACCGGAUAGUGCAUCAAUUUUUGAAACAGAGAUGGCAUCUACACACCUGACAUCGAUGAGGGGAAACACCGAUCAUCAGAUUUUCCUCAAGUGCAAGAUUCAGGAAUAUAGUGUAAGAUUGAAUAAGACUAAUGAAGCUGAAACUAGGGGCUAACACAUUAAAAAAAAAAAGGAGAUGAUUUUUUACAUAGUUUCAGUGGAAUGUAGCUGAACUUUAGGUGAGGGAGCAUGCGAUUCCCACAACAUCUCAUAACAUAAUGAACUGAAGCAGAUAGCGGAUUGCGCUGCAGAAUGAUUCUAAUUUAGCAAAACCAUAUAGGGAGAAAAUGUACCUUUAAGUAGGCUCUUUAACCGCUGGUCAACUUUCAGUCCUUACGCCCUACAUUCUCUUCUGAUGGGCCGCCUGGUCCGUCUCAUCUCUGUUUGUGAUGCUCCGUGCGCUAAAACUUUGUAAAUAUUGGACCUUGGGGCUUGCCAAAGGUAACCCAACAGAAAGUGCGCUGGCGAAAACCUAGCCAACAAUUAUUUGCAAGUAGAACAAGGCUCAAAAUACUUGGGCCCAAGUUUGUCCAGGAAUAUAGACCAAUUAUUUUUCCAGGCAAUCAUCAGAUGUGGGAUUACUAGAGCCUGAAAACUUCCCCAUUUUAAUUCUAACAUCCUUAUAAGUGGGAUUUGCACCUGUAACCUUCCAUUACACGUCCAGGUAGGAUUUUGGCUAUCGUAUGAUGUUGCCGUCGCACUUGGGCUUCUAUCUUCCAUCUGAUCGAGGGUAACACUUAGGAUGCGGAGUCAAGUAGCCACACAUACUGGUACAACUAGGGGUAGACUGGCCUAGCAAAUAACUUGAAGGAGCAAGUCUUAUACAUGUAGCACAAAAUGCAUAAGCCCAAGUUUCAAGCACUAUCAUGUUAAUCUUCAUAUUUAUAAAGUACUUCCCUACUUCCCUAAUCCCAAACAUCUUCGGAUGUAGGACUAAUGUGCGACAUGAGGUUCGCAAAGGUGUUGUAAUCCUAAGAAUGCUAAAGGAAAAUAUGAUACGUACAGCCUUUCAAUGGAUCAGAAUGCUUGUUGGAAAGAUGAACAAUAUACACUAACAGUGAAAGCCCAAAUUUAAUGCAAAAUGAUGAGCAUUUACCUGAUAAGUUCUCAUGCAUCCCACAGAUGUCAAUCUCCCUCUCGCUUAAAUUUCCACAAUCAAAAUUUCCACUCAACAGGGUCUUCUGACAACCAUUGCCCUUUGAUUGUUGGGAAGCUUUGCCCUGAUAACGAGCCCAAGUUCUUCAUAUUUGCACCUUUAGAAUCCUGGAGAUCAUUCUCUCUUUUGGAGAAAAUACAUGGGCCAACCAAAUCAGUCACAUUUGCCUCUCACUUACUCUUCUGGGCAAACUUCAACAGCCUCCUCAAUCCUUGGGGAGCAUCUCUCUGAUAGAUCAAGGAGGAAUCUAUGUAUUUCCCCACUCAACGAUUUCCGGUUCAUUACAGUCAGCUUCAACCAUCUGCGAUUGUGAAUGUUGGAUCCCAGGGAUUAUUGAUGAAAUUGGUGCGACCCCCAUGGAAACAGCAUUAAUUAACAAGCCAUUUUCACAUGAAAAAGGAACUCCGUGAUGUUCGACUUCCACCCAUGCAGAUGUGGAGAUGCCGGUAUUGUUGUAAUCUUGUUGGAUCUCAGCUGCAGAAACUUUGACUAGCUCCUUAUCCAAGCCUAUCUUCUGAUGCAGCUAAACUCUGGUCCAGAAUCUCUGUCAUUUGAAUAUUCAAGUCAUUAUAUAGUGAAAUUUGUAAAUUUGCAUCAACAACAUUUGCUGUUUGAGCAAGAACAAUCUCUGAUACCUUAGUAUUUGCCUUAGUUGUGACAGAAGCAUCGGUUUUGUGAGAAUCAUCAGCUCAAGAAUCUUUGCUUUUGCCUAAAGAAGGGGAUACUGCAGGACCAGUUCCAGCGCCUUUUCUCAAUAAGGUCUUUUGUUCAACUGGUAUGCCACUGCUCUUCUUUGUGACUCUGCUCGAGAACUUUGGAUUUGCUGUCGCAUUAGAGUCGUAAUCCAAAGCUGGUUUAUUUACAGUUUUCGCAUUUCUAGAUUUUGUCCCUGCACUCAGCUUCGGAUCUCCUCUGCCUUCAAUGGCUGGCUUGUUAUGAGUCAAAGUUCCUCUCUUGGCUUUUACUUGCUGUGUAGAUCUCUCUGCUUUGGGACUAGGCUGAACUGAGGAAGGUGAUGUCUGCGUCUUUUUGAGACGCGUCGAAAUGGAACCAGUAUAGGAUUUAUGUGGUUGAACUCCCAUUGAUUUUGGUGACGGUACUGAUGACCUUGAACUACGUGCAGCUGGCGGCAAUGGAGAAUUUAGAGAAGGCCUUCUGGGUGCAGCUGUUUUUGAAGCCUCCUUCGUGGAUAAGACAGGUGGAGCUGAGUUUCGCCAUGCUCUUUGGGAAUGAGUCAACGAUAUAUUCUUUCUAGUAGUAUCGUCCUUUUUUAUGGCCGUCUCUGCUUUUCUUUGCCCAAGAGUUUUCUGUAGAACUUUAUUUCGUGCUUCCUUUGUUGCUUGCUUUCCUACGCUCUCAGCUUUAAGUUUCUCAUCUCUUUUCUCCUUGUACGGAGCAUAGAAAUCUCCUUUUGGCUCAUCAAAGAUUUCAUUAAUGUCUCUGUGCUUGCCGGGUUGACUCUCCAUCAUUUUCAUUAGCAUCUGAUUAAGUUCAGCUUCUCUCUGGCGGUUCCAUUCAGCUGAACCGGUUGAUCGACCACCAAUUUCCUCCUGUUGUGAAUUCACUAAAUCCAUUGGACUACUAAUUGGAGGGCAAAUAUCAACUUGGGAUUUCACAAUCUCAGGUGGGUCCAAACUGUUUUCUGGAGCAGCAGAUUCGACAUUCACUUCGACUACUUUCUUCUCCUCUUCCUCAGGAAGUAGAUUAAAGGAGGUGCUUUCAGAAGCAGCAUCUAAGCGUCUUUCCUGUGACCGAUGUGCCAAAGAAUCACUUGUACCUGCACUCCACCUUCUCAAUACAGACUUAUUAGUACUGUUAGAUGCAUCUCCCGAGGCUCUUUUCUGUGUAUCUGAACUCUGAUCCUUUUGUUUGCUCUCAAAGAGACUGAUUGCAUCUCGGACGCUCAUCAUUCUGACUGUGCUCUCAGGCUUCUUUGUAGACAGUUCAAAUUCUUCGUCACCAUUUUCAUUGUCGCCAUCAGUAUCCCUGUUAAUGGAAAUUCUUUCUCUUGCAGGGAACAAAUUAAGGCUCUUAAUGGUAAGAGCUGUUGACCUACGGGAUCCAGACCUACCAAUCUGGAUUCGUCUCAUUGGAGAGGCUGAUCUUCUGUGUGGUGCAGUUCUUACAAAAGAACGGCUUCUUUCGACAGCUCUUUGAUCUUCAUCACUCCAGUCAGAAGACUCGCCGCUCUCUGUUGGGCUCAUACGCUCAACUUGUGCAAGUUUUGCUGGGGAGAUAACAACAUGCUCAGCAUUACCAGCUUGUGAAUAUGACUGAGAAGUCUCUAAUGGAUAUUCAUUCAUUUCUUUCGAAUCAUAAGAAAGCUGUAACGGUCCACGUGAUAGUUCUGCAGGUUGGUUGGUAGAGAUCAUCGCCAGAUAGUUCGCCAACAAAUUCCUACAUAUAAGAAAUAGAAAGGAUUAAAUUACUGGAUUGUACUAGAAAUCUCAACAAGAGAAAGACGCAGAUAAUUUAGAAUGCAUAAAUUCAAUAUGGAUCAGAAUUGAGGGAAGCUAAAAAGUAAUAAUCAAGUCUGCAAAACUAUUCCAGAUAAACUUCAAUCAUUAGUUUGAAGAUGAAUGCAAUUAGAAGAUUGUAGGAGAUACGGAGUUCUCUUGAUCUGUCAUGUUCAUUUUUAUCUUAAUAGCUUCUUAGCAUAGGAUGAACAACGUAAUCAAUGUAUAUGGGAUGACUCGCAGGACACUGCCUAAAAACACAUUUGACUAGCCCUAUUAAAUAGCACGAAUCUACAUAUUAACAUUCCAUUUAUUACAAAAUUUCUCCAGGGAGUAACAUUGCCAGGGAGGGAAAAGAUACCGUAAUUCCAUAGCUCCAAAAUGCUGAGAAAAUGCAAUUAGAUCAGAGAUGUGCUUGGUGGACAAAAUGGAACCAGCCGCUCGAUUGAGUGAAGUCACCAUAUCUUCUUUUAAUGCUGUCAAUCUCAACUCCAAUGCUUGAAGCAAUUCAUUCCUGACAGUUGUCAUCUUGUUAAAAUGAGUGGAUAGGAGGACAUAAAAAUGGUAACUGAAGGGGAAAAAAAGAUAAAUGAGAGAAUAGUUACUUUGUAGCAUCCGAAGAAAUUGUUUCGCCUCUCAUCUGAAAAUUAUUACACCAAAUGAACCCUUAGCAGCUAAAAUAUUUAGAAAAUGGAAGUUUGAAGAAAUGGCAAUUACCUGUUCAGUCACUCUUAUGUCUUUCAACAAGCCACCUGUUACAGAAUAGAACUACAACACUGAGCACUAGUAUUGCAAUUUUAAACACAAAAAGAUGAUCGAUAUGGAAAAUAUAGGAAAAAAUUGUCACUGUUCUCAAUCUUUUAUAAAAGUAUGUAACUUAUCAAAAAUUAUACGUUAUAUUAGUAUGAGUUGAGUAAAGCAUAUUUCCUUCUGUGCAGAAACUAAAAAGCACUAUUAAACAAAACAAAAUAUGCAUGAACAAUCGAUAUACUGAGAACUUUUAGCUAUACCAGACUAGAAUAGAGGCACACAUCUAAAAGCUUGCCAACACUGUUGUCUGAUAAAACAUAAACAAACCAAUAAAAUCUAUAAGACAACUGCCGAUAAGAGCAUCCAUCAGCAACAUUGCUAAACUAAGCUAGUGGGAACAAUCUUCUAGUUUAAGUCACAAAUAGCCACACCGCAUCCGAGAUGAUGGAAAAUUUUCUAUGUCAUAAGUCCAUCAAUUAUUGCCAGAAUCUCAUAAUCUUAGACAGUCCCCAAAAAAGGCAAAUUAUUUAACUAAAAUUAGAAGACAAACCAUGAAAAAGUCUAAAUAUCCAAUAAAAUAGAUAACUCACAUGUACCUGCUAAUCCAACAUCCACGUGGUUCAAAUCGUCCUGAUAAAGAACAAAUAUCUGGUUAUUAAUGAGUUCAGAUAAAUAAGGUUCCAGAGACAACGAUUUAAACUUCAGAGAAGUCGCUCUACCUUAGAAUAAAGAGAAAGAUGGAACUUCCUAGUUUCCUCCAACUGUGACAUCUCGCUUACAGUUCCACUGGCUGAUAAUAAAGCCUCAGGGGAGCCAACAAUAUGUAAAAAUCUAGAGGAAAAACUUUUAUCAGCAUUCAUUCCAGUAAAACAAAGUGUAGUCAUAUCAAAGAAUGCCUUCCAUUGCACCUACAUUGCAAGGGUGGAUUUGUUGAACCAAGAUGAACCUCGAAGUGCUCGCUUUGGUUCUAAAAUAAAGGUGCCAUUUGAUGAAUCAGACUGAAAUUGUUUUGCUUCUAAUAAAUACUGCGAUAGCUGAUCAAGAGAACCAGAUGCAAGCUUUUCUGUUCUGCCUUUACUGCAAAUAACCACCUCAUACCUGUGCAUCAUUUUUGUAAAAGAAGAAAAAGAAGGAAAAGAACGUGGUUGAGUUCAGCAUAGCCAUAACCGAGCAAAUAGUAAAACUCAUAUAGAUAUACAGAUGGAGCUACUCAUGUACUCCAAUAUUGCAGACGGUGUAAUCAAAGCAACAAGAUUGAGGUAUAGUGGCAAGAGAAUAAUAUCAAUUUAGCAAACAUCUAGUAUUUUAUUACUCACCUGUUUUGGGUUGAUGAUAUCUGGAAAGAGGCAUAAUCGAGCUUUGCAUUUACAUCUAUCUCUCCCUCCAUUUUGUAAUGUGCAAAACUCUUGAAGAUUUUAAUUCUCUUCUGAGCUGUCUCCAAAAUAGUCUCACUUCAGGGUGACUAUAUGAAAAUAAUAUAUGUAAAUCCUCAGACCAACAAAAACAACAACAUAUAAGAAAAAAAAAAUAAUUGCACUUACUUUUCUAGAUAUAUGCACCUAAAUCAUUAAACUAUUUGUGACAUGGUAAGUACUAACAAGUAUGUGAUAUGAUUUAGCUAUUUUAAUGAUUCCAAAAGCAACCAAGAGGAAAAGAAGAUAAUUACAGAGGUUAACUCAAUAACUUCAAUACGAGAAUCUUGAAAAUUAACCACAGAAAAUAUUUGAGCUUAUUGAUCCUAACACAGUCCAAGAACUUGCACCAAGAAUCUAUUCUACAAAUUCAGAGUGACUUUUAUAUUCUGGAAUCUAUUUUGCUUAAUACCCCAGAAGACCAAAGAUGAAGCAUGUUACAAUCAAACAUCCUGGGAAAGGAUUUUAACAAUCAGACGCUACAAAGGAUAUUACAAAUUACAAUCAAAAGCAAGUUACACUCUUUUUAUUUCCUGUUUAAAAGACUUGAUUGCAGCAUACUCAAACUUACAGAUACCCACUUCAGAGACCCAAGAAAACCCAAAACCAAAUGAUUUGAAAUUAAAAAAUAAAGUAAUGAUAACAUCAUCUAAAUUUCUAGCCAAGACAACCUUCAGAUCUUUAUUAUCUCAAUACCAAAAUCCAGGCACGCGUAUUUAAGGAAACAGAUGUAGCAUUAGAGAAACCUUUUCCUAAUCCAACACCUCUAAACUCGCCGAUCCGAGCCAAACAAACCUAAAAUAUCCAAGAAUCCAACAUCACGAAGCAUCAAGAUGCCUCCUUUCCACCCCAAAUCUAACAGAAAACCAACCACCAGAUCCCACAACCAAAUCAAACCAAAUGAAACCCCUGAGAUCUAACGCACAUUGCCCAAUCCCUCCGCAAAAACGAGACAUCUACCAAAAUCACACACCAAAAAGGGAAACCCCCCCACCGACACCUCCAAAACAGCAUCAAAAACAGGAUAAAUCGCGAAACCCCAAGAGCGAGUCGGCGCGAGAUUACCAGAUCUGGUCGAAACCCUAGCAGGUCGCUUUCGCUUCUCUUCGGAGUCGAAUCGAUUCCUACGAAGAGUGAAGGAGAAGAUUCUAGAGAGAGAAAGAGAGAGAGAGAGAGGGAGAGAGAGAGGAGUGGGAGUGGAGGUGGGGGAAGAGGAGUAUAAAUGGCGGAGCUCGGAUGACGCAUCGGUAACUGUAUCGUUGUCGUAUUUACGGUUUUACCCCUGGUUCGGAUGCGCUUUUGUCAAAUGGACGGAAAUGCCCCUGCAUGCUAUUUUAUUGACCGAAAUGUCCCGCUUCGCGGUAGUCAGAUAGUGCGCGAGUGGGCAAACAUGGACCGCGGCGCGUGGUCCCCAACCGUUGGAUCGGACAGUUUUUUUUUUGACGUGGAAUUUAUAUUUAAUUAAUUCUACUAAUAAUUUUAAAUGACAAUUAAUUUAAAAAAUUGUUUCUAUAUUUUUAAUAUAAAAUAAAAAUAAUUUUAUUAUUAAUUAAUAUUUUAUGGAUAAUAUCUAUUAGAGUGAAUGGUAAUGCAACAAAUACCCUCAUGAUGUGUCCGGUUCGAGUUAUAUAAUAUUACAAGUUAUUUCGACAUAAUCAGAUAUUUGAAAUUUCUGUAUCAGAUUACUAAUGAAACUGCAUUAUCAUUUUUGAUUUAAUUCAAUAAUAAUAUAAUGCUGAAUUACAGUAUAUAUAAAAUUAUUAUGUUUAGUUUAUUUGAUAAAAUUUAAUAAUCCUAAUAAUAAACUGUAGUCUAUUCCUUAAUUACCCUUACGAUCAUAUUUGGCAAACCAUGAAAUUUAAAAUGUGACUAUAAAACUCGAAUAAAAUUUAAAAUUUAAAUUUUAAAUUUUAAAAUUAACUUGGAUUCAGAUCAAGUUCGGAUUCAGGUAGAUAUAGACAAAGCUCAUAUCCAAAUUUCAUUCCGUCAGAUUUUCAUUCUCUAUACUUAUUCAUAUGCGAAAUCACAUUCAUAUGCAGAUUUGGUAUCAAAUAAACCAUUUUCAUUCGAAUCUGAGUAAGUUCGAGUAAAAUUACAUAUAUUCGUACCUAUUGGCAUCCGCACAACGGUCUGAAACUAAAAAAAAAAAAAAAAAAAAAAAAAAAAAAAAAAAAAGGGGGGGGAAAAAGAGAAAAGGUGAAAAAUCUAAUAAUAAUUUGGUUCAAAAUUAACCAAACUCACGUACUAAGUAAUAAUAAUAAUAAUAAUUAAUUAUUAAUUAGCGUCACUAGCUAGUGUUGAUUGUUGAUGGAGCACUCGGAGGAGGAUCCAAUCAACAAAUGAGCCAGCCUUUCUUGCGUGUUAUCGAAGAAUAACAACAUUAGAUUAGAGGGCGCAUGUGGGCUGUCCGAAACUUUUCUCGCACGUUGCUUGUCCUGCAGCACAUGCUUGCUUUCUCGUGCGCGUUGAGACGAAGCGCUUUUCUCCCAAGUCCAUAUCUAUCCGACUAUCCCACUAUGUUACGCAUGACAUCUAUGUACAUUAUUCUUUUCUGGUAGCAUUUGGUUCGGAUAUAAAUAAGAACUAAUUAUUACAAAAAUAGAUACAAAUAUGGGAUAAAAAAAAUAGUGUUUGGAUGAAAAUAAUGUUUAAAUAGAUAAUAUGGAAUAAGAAAAAUAAUGGAUAGUUAUAUGUAGAAAAUGGAGGUGUUGGUGACUUGGUAGGGAUAGUUAUAUCAGAUUAUUUUAGAUAAUCGAGAAUUACUAUUCUUGGAUAAAAAAUUUGUGUUUGGGUAUAAAGGGAGGGAUAAGGGGUUAUCGCUCCACUUAUUCCUAAUCCAAACAUUGCCUCUAAAUUUACUAUAUGAUAAAAAAAAAAUUUAUUAUUGAUUAUGAGUUAAUUUCACCCUAAACCAACUUAAAUUUUCUACAUUUUUUUUUAUUUACUUGAACAAAAUCAAAAUUUUCUUUUUUUCGAUUGAAUCGAACUGAAUUUUUCUCGUUUUUUGCUUGAACCGAACCAAUCAUUAUUGAGUGUGGGAUUCUCAAACCGGCUCAAGUCCUCCGCAUGUUAAUAAUCUCUUUCUUUGCUUAAACCAAACCGGAUUUUUCUCAUUUCUUGUUUAAACUAAACCGAAUCACAUCUCUACAUUAGACCGAGCUGUUCCUCUUCCACUUUUUUUUGGUUGUUACCUUCCUUCAUCGGUAAGAUGAAUCCCAUCUCUUAUCAUUGUUGCUUUUAUCGUUAUUAUCUCUUUCUUUGUUGUUGUUUUUUAUUUUUUUCUCUUAUUAUCUAUCUGUUUUAUCGCACGAAUUAUUACACUCGUAUAUACACUAUUUCAGCAGCUUAAUUAUAUCUCCACUAUAUAUCUAAUAAUAUGCUAAAUUAUAGAAAAUUUUUUUAUAAAUAUUGAUUUUUUUUUCUAACUUUCAAAAGCCUAUAUUUUACCCUCUGAACAUUUCAAGUUGUUAUAUUUAGUCCCCCCUUUAUCAGAAUUCCAUCACUAUUCCGUUAAUUUCUUAUAAUUUAUACUGAAAAUACUCUUCAAAAUAAUAGAAAUAUAUUAAAAAUUUAAUUUUUCUUAUAAAAGAUGUAAGAACAAUUUAAUUAUUUUACCCUCUCCAUUAAUGUCAUACUUUUCUAAAAAUAUUUUUAAAAUUUUAAAAAAGUAAAAUAUAGAUUUUUGAAAGUUAGAGAGAAAAAAAAAAAAAGAAUUAUAGAGGGUUUUUUUUGUAAUUUAGUCCUAAUAAUAUCAUAAUAGAGUAACCCACCAUACUAGGGCCUAUAUAAUAUAUUUAUUUUAAAAGUACGUUUGAAAUAAAUUAUAGUAAAAUUUUUUAUAUGUCUUUGGCGACUAAAAUUUAUAAUAUUUUAAAUUUUACUAUACCAUAAAUAGAGUUUUUUAUAUAAUUUUUAAAAAGUUGGGAGAGUCAGGGCCGCUGCGAGAUUUUAAGUUCGAAGUCUAACUACUUCACAUUUCUACUUAAUUUUAUUUCUAUAUUUAAAAAAAAAUAAACAAAGUGGGUAGUUAGCUAUAUUUUUCUAAAAAAUUAUAUUGUGAAAGAGUAAUGUUAUACCUGUAUUCGAAUUUUAAAAUAUUUUACCGAUAUGUUUAUAUGAAAGAUUUUAAUUAGAUGAUUGACAAAAUUUGCAGAAAGAUGUUGAAUAUAAAUAUUUAGAAACAUAAUUCUCUAAAAAUUUAAGCUUUUGGAGAAUUAUGAUUAUUUUUUAUUUUCUAUCAUGAUAUCAAAGCAUUUUGUCUUGAACUCAGACGUGAGAAAAAGCUAGCGUUGACUAUAAAAGUAUUUAAAAAAUAUUAUUGUCUAAAAAGCUUAAAUUUUUAGAGGACUAUAUCUGUUUCACAUUCUUUAAUAUAGAAUAGUGGUUUAAAUUCUGAUGCGGACACUCUUUUUCGAAUUUUUUUGCAACCAUGACCGUGAAAAGCUCUUUUUCUUUUUUUGUGAUUUGUGGCUAGAAAGAUCUGUAGAGUUACGAGAAAAAACGAUAAAAAAAUAUUUUAGUUGCUUCUAUAAAUAAUAUAUAUUAUAAAUCACACAAAAAAAAUCCAAACCUUUUAGGUAAAAAAAAGGUAAAAAAAACAAAACUUAUCUAGACUAUGAAUUAUUUUGAAUCGACUAUGUAAUUUUUUAAAAUUUUGAUUUUAUCAUCCAACCUUUUAAUUUGUUUGAUUUAAGUCGAUCAAAAAUGCAUUGACUUUAAAAUUUAAGCUAAUUAUUUGCUGUAAUGAAUUUAUAAUUACGAAAAUUAUAUAAAGCAUACUAACUAAACCUAAAAAAAUAAACAAUACUUUCAGAAUUUAAAAUCAAGGUAUAUAUCGCCAAUCGACUCAAACCAAACAAAUUAAAAAAUUAGAUAGUAAAUUUUUGAAAGAUUACAUAACUGAUUCAAAAUGAUCAAUAAUUCACAUAAGUUAUGUAGAUUUUUACCAACUUUUUUUCUACCUAAAAAGUACAUAUAUAUUAAAGUCACUCAACAAGAGUAUAACUCUAGCUUGGAUUGGCAGCAAACAAUGCCAAAUAAAAAGACUUGGCUUUGAAACCAAUAAAUACUCCACACCAACCCAGAAACUGGGAAAGGAGAUAAAAAUGAUGAAUCCAGAAGCUGAUCGAUUGAUUGAUCUCGUUCCUUUUUUAAAAAAAUUUUGCUUUUUUCUUUUAUUUUUUCUUUUUUCUUUUUAAAAUCUGUGAGAGGUAACGGCUAGUAACAGUAGUUGUUGCAGUACGAGGGUGGACACUAAACAGCACUAUACAAGUGCGGUGGGUAAAAGCAAAAGCUAAAAGCCAAAAGCCAACAAUGACUGGGUUGUGGGGAAAAGAAGCAGAGGAGUACGUGGUGGGCAUGCAAGGGAAGCUGCACAAAGUUCGAAUCUAAACGCUAAUCAACUAUUCCAAAAGCACAUGCUGAUAAGAAGAACGUACAGCACUCGCGGGCUUCGACUUGACUCGACCCACCUACAUGUUGGGUAUGUUGUUGAGCCUCUUAGCGUUAGGUCUCUUGUGAACCGCACCACCACUCAACUUAUUAGUCUUCUGGAUCUAUUAUCACGAAACAGAAUGUUGGGCCUAUUUUAGUCCAACUUGGACAGUUAAUGUAGCAUGUGGGAAUCGAACCCGCGCCACUAACUCUUAUACCACUUAUGGACAGUAAGCGCUAACCAACUAUCCCAAAAUUACGUAUAGGAAGGAUGCAUCUGUCGCACUUAAGGACUCAGCCACAGCGCUCGCGGGCUUCAACCUGACUCAAUCCAUCUAAAUGUUGGAUCUAUUGUUGGACCUCUUGCCGUUAAAUCUCUUAUGGACUGUACAUCCACUCAACUUAUUAGGCUCACCGAACUCAACUUAUUAAUCUCUUGACCUAUUAUCAUGGGACACAAAGUUGGACCUAUCUUAGUCCAAUAAUAAAUAGCCAACAGAAAGAAAGGUCGGUUGCUUGCUACUGUGUUUCAGAGGAUCAUCAAACCCCUCAAAUACGACACAUCUCAAAUUGAUUAUAUUGUGUCGUAUAAAAUCAGAAAAGAUCUAAUAAAAAAUAAUAUGGUAUAUUGAUAUCAAAAUAAGGNAUAUAUUUAUAUCAAAAUAAGGCAUCUGAAAAAAAAAAAAAUUUUGUUUUCCUACUCGCUAUUGCAACGUGAUCUAAGUCGUCCUUUGAUCGAAUGUCCGUAUUAGCAUGUGGAACUGGAAAAGAUUACAGCAGAAAAAAUAAUAAAUUAUACCUUAAGGCGAUCUUGUUGUACAACGUAAAAUGGUAUUAGACCUAAGCGAUCGGGGAGAUCAUAUGCAAUUUUAUGUUGUUCUUGUACUUGUGCGUAACGUGAAGGUCUUUGAUUGUAGAGUAAUGCUACAGAUACGUUUCAAAGUAGAGUGUAUAUCUUACAUUCACUCAAUUUCAAGACCAUUACUACUCUACUUACUCUAUCAACCUUUUUUUAUCUGUACUAAAAAUUAUUUGGAUUUUUAUCAACUCCAAAAUAAAAGGUCCAAGAGCUACACUUUGUUUUUUAAGUGUACAAGAAGCAUUUUUUUUUUAUUGUAUAUUGUUUAUUUUCACAUAAAAUAACAAUGACGGAUCAGGUUGGUGGUGAAUUGCGCUACUAGUCCCUAAACUUUUAUACUAAUUUCAUUUUGAUGCUCAAAACUUCUAAAUACGUACGCUUCGUCUUAUACUUAUCCCCAUGAACAACAAAGAAAAGUUUCGGCGGGCACGUGGAUAAAUAAUCUUUCCUCUAAAGCGAAAACCAAAGUAAAGGACUCUCAAAAUUUUUGAGUGUCAAAUAUCAACCUAAAAGUUUAAGAGCCAAAUUGAAAUUUUAUUACAGUUCCAUCGCCUAGUUGUACUAUUAUCAUUUUGGAUGUUUUUCGUGGGAUAUAUACCAGGUCUGACUUUUGAAACAGUUUCUCAAUAUAAGAAACAAAAAUUAUAAGUUUAACAAGUAAAGAGUUUAUGGCUCAAAUGCUCAAUUAUAUUGUGGCAAAACAUUAAAAUUUUUCGAACCGUAAAUAGUUAUACCUGAACAGCAUUUCUGUAAAAAAAAAUUUGUCAGCAGCAUUGAAUAACAUGGCUCAAAGUCAUAGGCUGCCAGAUCAAUCAGAGCUUAGCUGACUCAUUUGGUUGCAGUUUGUCAGUAUUGCUGUUCUCAUUAAAUUUAGAAGAUGUCAUAUCACUGUCCAAAUUUGCAGAAAGGAAAGAAGCUACAGCUGAAAACAAAGAACUAUAGAGUCAAAAAAAAAAAAUCAACCAACUAGUGUUCACAUGAUUGGAUGUAUUUGAAAUGGAGCAAUUGCAAAAUCCAAGCUGUUAGUUAUUUCUCUACAAGAUUUUAAGGAAAUGCAGUUCUUUCUGAAUCAUUCAUGUGUUCAUAUAUAAAGAUUAAAACUAUGAUGAUGGGCCUGCUUGGAUGUCAAGAGAAUUUAUUUAAAUACAUUUUUUAUGCCACGGAAAUUAAAUGACUUUAAAGCCUAAUAUGGUAUGAUUGUUCUGACAUUUGAUUAUACUCUUCGUAUACUAAAUACUAUAUUUUUUUUUGAACAAAUAAAAGAUACGUGCUGAAUAAGAUGGUCGUGCGUUCAAAUAGUGCGCAACUAACGUGCUAAGAUUCACAACUUUAUUUCCUAGUUCGUGUUAAAAUCUGAAAUUUGUAAGGUUUAUAGAGAUCGCUGAAAGAUAGAGAUAACUUGAAAUAAGAUCCUGAUUCAUUUCUGGCGCCUCUCAAAAUAAAUGGAAUUGUUGUUGAGUGUAUUAAAAUUCCUACUGAACUGGCUAAAAUAACUCCCUGUUUUUUUCUGAGCUUAAAACAAAAACAACCAAAGGAAACGGAAUGAUCCAGUUAAAGAGCCCCCACUCUUUAUGCCUUGAUACAAGAAAUGGAAAUAACCCCCNCCCCCCCCCCCCACAAAAACAAAAAAACAUUAAAGGCCCAAAACCCAACGAAGCCCAAAAACUUAUUGGGCUGAAGUGAUGGAUGAUAACUUAUUUGGGGAAAAAAUUCUUAAAAGAAAAAGAAGUUGAUUUCGGGUAGGGCCGUCAACGAACCGAACACAUGCGAGCUGGGGUUGGUUCGUGUUCGCUCGUUUAUUAAACGAGCUGAAUAGGAGCUAGAUUGUUAAAUUAUUGAGCUGAAAAGUUCAGUUCGUAUUCGGCUUGUUUAUUAAUGAGCCGAAUAUGAGCUCAGCUUGCGAACAAUAAGUUAGAUUGUCAGCCAUACUAUUAGUUAAAAAGUUAAAGAAAAUUAGAAAAAUUGGAAUCCCAAUCUAAUAAAGAAAAUUCACAAAAUAUAGGGUGUCUUUACAUUUGGGUUGGCUUGGGCUAUACGAAUCGAAUAGAAGUGAGCUCACCCAGCUCGUGUUCCCUUAGUUAAUAUUUCGGGUUGAAAAAUUCAGCUCGCAUUUGGCUCAUUUAUUAAAUGGCUGAUUAUCCUCGAUCUUAUUUGGAACCGAAUACGAUCUGGCUCGCGAACAGCCAGAUAGAUUGCCCACCCUGCUUCAAGAUUUUCAACUUUUAUGGCUAAACAAAUAUUUUAGAUGUAGGGAUUGCGAGUAAUAAACCCUAAACCCUAAACCCUAAUAUACUAUUAGUUCCUACACUAUUUCAUAUAAAAAAAUUAAUUUUUUUUGUUUUAAAAAAAAGACAAUGAUAUCAAUUGAGGCCUAAAUAUUGUGUGGAAUUUUUUUAUAUUUAAGUUGCUACGUGGCAAUAUUUAAGUGGUGGAUGUCUCCCACUUUGACCACCGUUUGUCCUAUCCAUGGUGGUGCCACGUGUCACGCGUCCAACUCACUUGCACAGUUGUACCGCCCCACCACCGACCCUCUCCGCACCAAUCUCCGCAGCUCACCCAACUCGAACAACUACCAAACCCAUCCGUUACCCGACGCUACGCGUACCCGAAGAUGCCCCUCGGGAACAACGUAACUUACCAUACUCCUUCCAAUAAAUACGCACCACCUCAUGAUGGCCACUAUUCCCUAGACCGGGUGUACUGGACUGGAGCAAUAGACCACCCAACACACUGAUUUCUUUUUACCUUAGAUAAGUUAAAAAUUAAACUGAUCUUACGUUGAUACGACUUGUAACUAUAAUGCGUAAAUAAAAUACCUGCUUAUAGAAGCAAUAAUAAUGUUAGGUCAAUUCAGAAUAAGUGUUGUAGUUUAGGAUUAUAUAUAUAUAUAUAUAUAUAUAUAUAUAUAUAUAUAUAUAUAUAUAUAUAUAGGACAUUUUAUAAAUUGAACUCUAUUUAAGAAAUACCUACGAUACAUUGGAAUACUUUUACAUGCAGUAAUUACUUCCUACAAUAAGUUGUAAACAUAUUACAACAAAAAGAACUCUUUCUUAAUUAAUUUGAAGGUGAAUGAUAUCUUUACUGUUUAUUUAUUUAACUAAAUAGACCACCGACAAUCAUCAACAAAGCUAGUGAUGAAUUUGUAAGAUAUUAAUUUAUGAGGCCAGCAAUUUGUACCCCAACUUGCAAGUUUAUAAUGAGGUGUUCAAGCUUCGAGCUCUACAGAAAAAAAAAAAAAACAAAAACAAAAAAGGAAAAAAUACGUAUAGGUUCCUACAAAUAUAAUGAAUUACAAAUAUAUUUCUAUAAAGUUCGACUUUUAUAUAUUGCUCUUACAGUCCUUAAAAAAAUUUAGUUAAUCAUAGGUUAAAUAUUUUACCUUGAUUAGUUAAUGAAGUGAAUUAACUUUUUACUCCUCUGUAAUUAACAGUGGAUAUAUUUGUAAUAGCAAAAAAAUUAUUUCACUUACAAAAUAAAUAAUAUUUUAACGAUAAUAAAUUAGAGGGACAUAUUUGAAAAUAUUAAGACUUUUAUAGGGACAAUAUAUGAAAAUUAAAAUUUAUAAGAAUAUGUUUGUAAUUUAAUAUAUUUGUAGGGACCUCUAUGAAAUUAAUCCAAAUAGUAGUUUUUAUGUUGGGGUUUCUUAGGGUAAAGCCUAAGAAACGUGGUAGUCGUGGACUAGACAGCGAUUUCAUGUGAGGGACAACGUACCGCCUGCGAGGAUCGCAUCAGCUUUUCCCCGCACUCAGCUCUCUUCUCGCUUUACUUUUCCCCUCCGCAUCCUCCUCCCCAGCAAUGGAACUCCACCUUCCGGAAAACGACUUCCGCCGCUCCCAUCUUCUUCUUCUUCUUCCUCGCCCAUGGACUCCGCGAGCAAGGACUACUGCCACCGCCACCGCCACCGCCACUGCCGAGGCGGCGCCACGCUCCUCCUCCGCCGCUGCGCCCUCCUCACCGUCGCGGCGCUCCUCGCCCUCGCCCUCGUCCUCGUCGUCCUCGCCCUCACCGUAUUCCGGCCCCGCCACGCCGUCACCACCGUCGACUACGUGCGCCUCGCGGGGCUCCGCAUCGCGCUCGACGUGCCCGACCUCGGCGUCGACCUCAACCUAACCCUAGACCUCGCAAUCACGGCCUACAACCCGAACCGCGUCGGGUUCCGGUACGGCGAGGGCGACGCCGAGCUCUACUACCGGGGCGCGCUCGUGGGCGCGGCGUCGAUCCCGGCCGGGGAGGUGGCGCCGCGCGGGAAGGUGCGCACGGACGUGGAGCUCACGCUGCUCGCGGGGCGACUCGCCGGGGACGCGGCGCUCUACGCGGACGUGGUCGCCGGGGAGGUGCCCUUCGCCACGGAGACGACGAUCCCCGGGAGGGUCACCGUGCUCGGGGUGCUCAAGCACCACAUGGUGACGUACACCGCGUGCGACAUCACCGUGUCCGUGCGGAAUCGGACGGUGGAGAACUCCAAUUGCAGGUACAGGACCAAAUUCUGAUCCUAGCUUAUUUGGGGUACAAUACUGUAUACGAAAUUUACAUAAAUAAAUAUAGAGAGAGAGAGAGAGAUGAGAUGUUUGAUGGAAUUCCCGCCUGUACCGUUUACAUGAUUUAUGGAGCUUCAUGGAACUCGAACUUGAAAAUCUCGACUCUCGAGUAAGUAGAACAAUAUAAUUUUUUUUAAAAAAAAUCUUAACUGAAAUAAGUUAGCUAUAGCUGUUAUCUUCUUUAUAUUCUUUAUGUUAAUCAUAUGGAGAGUGGAAUAGUUUAUCGCAAAGAGGAGGUCUAGUCCCUUCACUUUUGUUAGUGAGAUAAUUCAGGUGGAGAGAACUUCUUCCUUACUAGUUCAGCAUUUGAACUCGAAAUAUCUAUAGGUGAGAAUUAAUGAUCAUAAUAAUAUAUAUUAUGUUUAAUUCUUUGAUUCGUUGUGCGGUACUAGUUAAAUUGAUUGUGCGGUACUAGGCGAAUGGAAUUUCUUAUUCAUGUCACACAUUUCUCAUGCAAGUAUAUAUUUUGGCCAAUUGCGUCAUUAAGUAGACUCGUACACUUCCCUAAAACUCCUCCUGUGGAUGUACUGGUAUAAAGUUAUCAUGUGAAAGCUAAAACAACAUAGGAAAUUAACACAUGAAUAAUCAUAGACAACUCAUUGAAACGGAUGCAAAGAAGCAGGUCAUAGAACAAUAUUAUGAAUACCAGCCCUAUAGAAGAACAUCAGAGCAGUAGUAUCUGUUUAUCUUCUUCAAGAUCAAAAACUAACAUAGGAAAAAAAAUUUUGAGUUUGAUGGUUGAAAAUAGUCUUAAGCUAGAGGUAUGGACGUGUGCCGAAUAAGCCUUGGAAAAAAAUUUCACAAGCUUGAGUCUUUUAGAAACUUUUUCACUUCCCCACUCCCAAAAAUGCUCCGGCAAUAUUCUGGCAAACAAACAGGAGCAAUGCUGAAGAAAGAGGGUAUGAAGAACACUUAUCGUUCUCAAUGCUGCUUCUUAUCAGCGAAUGGUCCGCGCGGUAUCUUCUGAAGCACUUUCUCGUCCAGCACCUUGUAGUGCUUACUGAUUUCGACCAUCGCCUUCUCAGCUGCAGUAUCGACGUGAUCUUCGUAUUUUUCAUAGAAUACCGGCAGGGUAUAUGCGAUCACGAAAACUGCACAGGCAAACCAAUAAGAAUGUAUAUAUAAAAAAAAAAAUUGAAAAUGCCUCUACUUAAGACAAAAACUAGUGCUUAGUAUAGUCCAUAACAUAUAUAUGGUGUAUUUUAGCGUGUCAAUAACAUGCACAUAAUAUACAUUGAACUAGAAUACAUUCGGAAAAGCUGGUGCUUCCAUCUUUCAUGAAUCGCAUAUUCGCAUGCGUUUGAAAUCCACAUGGAUGCCCGACGGGCAUGCAUCUUUAUGUGCAUCAUACGGCCUUGGUGCAGGCCCAUGCAGAUCCCAGUGCGCAUCAAAAUAGCGAAAAAGAUUAACUACAGCUAUUACAGUGCUUUUAAAAGUAUUCUAGCUCAAAUCCAAGAUGAAUUAGUUGUUAGCUUAAAUCAAUGCGAGAAAGACUAUGAUGGGAACAUACUGAUAUAGAAAAGAGUCAAGAAACUGAACCAGCUGCCAACAACAGAAAUGACCCAGAGACCUGCAAUGACCUGCAUGAAAUUCUCUGUAAGACCACUGAAAUGAAAUUUGGUUUAAGAAAGUAAUAUUUUGAUACUUCACCAUCAAAAAUGUCUUCAAAUCCUUUCCAGAAGCUACGUAUCGGAAAGUUACGAAAGCUUCAUUAAUUUCAAAUCGUAUAGUUUGUGCUAUUUGUAGAAACAGGUCCUCAGGCAAAAUAACCUCUGGAAACUUAGGUGGAGACCUGAAUCAAUAAAAGAAUGUUUAUUCAAAAUAUAUAUUUAAGAAGAGAGACCGCUCUACAAUUAGUAAUGUUUUUGAGGUAUUAACUUGCCAAAGCUAUCAAAAAUAUAAAAAGUGAAAAUGUUGCAUUUAAUAUUUUAGCAAUAGUAUAUAGGAGGAAACUUGAAUGUUGAUUUAAGUACAGCUGGGGAAUGCAAAAUUCCUACAUAGGAUAAAACCAUACAGGAUAAGCAGUAAGUUCGGACUAGAAACAUUUUAAAGUUAUACAGGGAAACAAAAAAAACCUACAAAAGGCCAACUAGAUGGAACGAAAAUUUACUAAUUACAUCAAAUUAUAAUGACAAUGGACUGAUUCUGACGAACAGAUCAGGCAAGAUAAGUUUCAAAAUGAAAUGAAAAUUAUAUAAGCCUUAUAAAAUAAAGCUAGAAGACAGCUGCAAGGAAUUAAAUUCCAGACGAUGACAUUGAUUAAAAAGGUAAAGUAAGCAUAGGAUGCUAUCAUUUCUUUAGCAAGUCAUAAACUGAAAGAAUAAAAUCAAUUUACAAGUAUAAAGAUGCAGUUUUUGGAAAAUAAAAAAUAUAAAAACUAUCAAAAUGAUGCAAAAUAAGUCAUAUCUAAAUGACUACUAUAUAAAAAUGAAACCACGACUUCCAUUUGGUCCCAGUACAGUUCAAUGGUACAAGAUGUCCACAUUCUUAAUAGACUACGUAAUUUCAAUUACACCAAAUACUCGCUUCCUAUGUGCUGUAGCUUCUUAUAAAGGCACUUGGUUGAAAUCAUGCCUGUAUGUAUUUCUCCAAUAUCUUAUGAAUAUACAGAAACGGAUACGGUUUGAUUUUUUUUUGUUUUUUACUACCCAAUUAAAUCAAUAGCAAGUGAUUCACAAAAUUUUAUUUAUACCAAGCUCAAGCACUCAGUGAAUUCUCUUGGACCCAGAAUGAAAUGGGGUUCCAUUCGUUUUCCUUAUAAAAAAAAAAAAAAGAUGAACUGCCCUGAACCAAAGUCAAGGGUUUGUUUUGUUUAUCAAUUCAAAAGUCCUUUAUACACACCCUAUUGGAUAUGACACCUAAAUAGAAAUUAAGAAUGAAUCACACAGAUUCAAAUAACCAAGUUGAGCAAAUGUUGCCAUUGCAAAAUUAAAAGUGCAUAAUUGAGAAAGGUACUGCUAUCAUUAAUUCUAUAAACAUAAAUGAACAGUAUGUUACAGAGAUAGAAAAAUUUCGCAAACAUUCGACUGAGCAAAAGAAUGGCUAAGCAAUCAUAUGACGUAGAAGUGUAUGGGGCCUCACCUGUUUACAAAUGAUGCUGCAUUGGACCAAAUAAAAGAUAAAGCCAGCAAAGCUAUAACAGAGUGGCAUAUAAAAGUGAGUAGGUGAUAACCCAACCAUUCAAAGAGAAUCCAAAUAAUAGUUACUCCAGCAAGUAUGCUGCCUGAUGUCUUCUUAUCUCUCCACAAAAUAAUAUCAGCAUCUGAAAGCAUCAACAAAUAUCAGUAAGUUUUAGAGAGCCUUUAACUAAGAGAAGCCAAACAAACAUGGCAAAUGUUGGAGCAAAGAUGCUGACUCCCGGAUCUUACAAAAAACAAAACCAGGUUCUGGUUUGACACAGGUUUUGAUUGCUUUAUCUACCAGUCUCUUUUGACUUUUCGUAAAUAAAAGACAAAUGCUAAAGACUUUAAUUUAUAUGGAUAUAACUCAACAAAGCAAAAUGUGCAUACGAAGGAAAGAACAGUACAUAUGAUUAAAAAACAUGCACUAUUUAUAUCUGAUCUUCUAUUAAGUCAAAUAUCCUACACACCAAAAUCACCAGAUGAAACAAAUGAGAAGAAACUGAAAGAGGAAUAUUCAACAGCAUAAGCUGGAAAAUCAGAGACAAAUGUUUGCCCAAGCUAGUACAUAGCUACCAGAAAAUGUAGUAGUUAGUACAGUUAGAAACAAUCUAUGGUUAGAAAAGAAAGAGCUUACAGUCAUAACAAAAAUGCUUAUGUAAUGCAUUCUAUCAUUACCCCAAAAUGUUACAGGAGGGUGAGCUGUUAUUCCGUAAACUAAAUUGCUUCUAGACAAAUUUGAUCUAGACAUUAUUAAUGGUGAAGAUGUAAUACACCUUUAAAUGGCAAUUAUAAAGCAAAUUCCUGUUAUAAACUAAACAAUUAUCUUUAAUAACAUUCAUAACUGAGACCGAAAACACCUUCUAAAGUUCAUCAGUUUUACCUGAUCGUACUUCCUAAUUCUAUAUUGCAGGUUAAAAUUACUAAAAAUCGACCAUUGAAAACUUACAAUCCUCUAUUUAACCAACAAAAAUUUUAAAAAAAAAAUCUAAAUUUCUGCAACCUGACUCCAUCAAUCGUAAAGACAAUAUGAAUAGGUCACAAAUACAAAUAAUUGAUGAUGAACCUUCACAAGAUAUAAAUCGCCAGAUCGCUAUUUGCAUUGCCAUAAAACAAUCGAUCAUUAACAUAUCAGAUUAUGACAACAUUAUCUCAACUAAUUAUACACAAAACAAAUUUAACCGAAUUUUUGAUGAAAAUGUGUAUAUAUCAUUCUCAACAAAUAUAAUCAACAAUUAACAAAGGCAAUAAUCCUGGUAAAAGAAACCAUACAUUUCCCUCCUCCGAGAACUUUGUGCACCGAUUCCUUCCUCCCGAAGAGCCGUUUCUUCCUCGCAUUAUGCGAGGAGGGCCUCUCACUUUCGGAAUCCGAUGACGACGACGAUCCCUUGUACUCAUGAAUCAUCUCGUUGAUCUUCUCCGUCAUCGAGUUAUGCUCACCGAUCUCCGACAUUUUCCCCUAACCCUCUUCAAUAUUUUUUUAGAACAGAAUCAGCACAAACGAUUUAACAAAUUACGAAACCAAAAAAUCGCACGAAAUCGAUCGAGCGUUUAACACAUCAAAAGGCCGAUCGAAUCUACUACGAUCUCGAUCAACAAUGAAGCGCAUCAAAAUGCGAUAGGAUCGAAUUAGGGUUUCUUACCGAAGAAAGAGUCGUCUCUUACGUUUCCUUCUCCCUCUCUCUCUCUCUCUCUCUCUCUCUCCUCGACGCUCUUCACGCUCGAAACCGAAAAAUGGAAACGGGCGAACGAAGGGGAGGUAAAGGCGGGGGCCUUAAAUAGUCCGUGGCCGGGAGAAUCGGGCGGCUACGAAGUUUCCGUUACUCGAUCCAACGGUCAUUGUGGCUUCGCCGUUAAUGUCUAGUCACGGAGAGAUGACGCCGUUAGAUUCUGCGUCCGUUCUCACGUUGAAUGAACGGAGGGCCUCGGGGAACGGCUCGGUUCAAAUUUAAAUCACUCGGGACGAUUUAAUAGGCCGGUUCAGUUGGACCGGUCCGGUCCAACUCUAAUAGGGAAAAAAGGCCGGCCCAAUUCAUUUAUAGCAUGGUAAAAUUCGACGGAGACGCCUGAACUAUAGGAUAUUCUGAAAAAACCCCUCAGUUUAAGUCGAUUUUUUUUAAAAUUUUUUGGUUAAAUUUUAAGGCUCGAUCAACUGUUAAAAGUUACUUAGAAUUUAUUUUUUAGGAGAAAAGGUGCAUAGACAAGUUUUUUUUAAAAAAUAUUCAUUUUGUUAUCACAAAAGUUUUUGAAGUUUAUGCUGUUUGAUAGCAAUGAUUAAUUGUUCACUUAUGGUUGCAAGAAUUUUUCACCAUUUAGUAAUACAAAUUCACUUCACAUUAUAACUAAACCUCAUAAUAUAUUUUAAAACUUACAUGUACAACUUUACUUCAUAAUAUAUUUAUUGCUAUGUACUAAUGUACACCAUUUGGUUUUUAAAUAUUCAAUGUUAAAGAUAAACUGUUAAAUGCCUAUUAAGUUUAAAAUUGAUGUAUACAAAAGUAUUAUUAAUUCAAUAAUAUGUAUACAAAAUUGAUGUAUAUUAAAUUGAUGUAUACAAAAUUGAUGUAUAUAAUAGGUGCUUAGCAAUUGAAAGACUCAAAAAGUAUUAUUAAUUCUAAAGAAAACAAAUGUUGGAAAGAGAUUGGAAAAAAAAAAAAAGUUCCGAAAUCAAUAUUGAUCGAAUUGGAGUAUUCGUAGCUACUGUUUGAAUAGAACUAUUUAAACAAAAAAAAAAAAAAAAUAUGUCAGAACUAAAAAUUCUAGUUAUGAAGAUCAGAUGAGUAAAUUUUUUGCGAUUUAUAAAAGUGUUUUUUGGCGGAAGUUGGAGAAGAGUUGCAGUGAUUCGGUGCAAUACUUUGAGAGUUGAUUAUUAAAUUGAAAUUUACAUGUUAGAAGAAUUUAAUAUAAAUUUUGUUUUAAGUUUCUUUUAUUUAUAUCACUCUUUUUAAUUUUUUUGAUUUGAGUUAUUCGAACAAUGGUUGCUAAUAAAAUAGAUCAUAACUAAUUUAUCAAAAAACAAUUGUACUUUUUAAAAUUAGUAAUACAAUUAUACAAAUCAUUCAUUUUGUUCACCCCCAUUUCAAAGAUGUAAGCUUUUUUCCUACAUACUAAAUUCAAUUCUUCAUAUAGCACUUCAAAUUACAACACCCCCAAAUUAUUAAUUACAUAAUCAAAAAAAAAAAAAAACGCGUGCGCGCGCGCACACACUCUCCUCCCCAUUCCAUGAUAUUUCUAAAGCGAGAUCAUAUCUAUCAAAGUAGAAAGGAAAUGCAUCGUAUAUUAAUUGACCAAAACCGACAGUGGAUAUCAUGCGCCCUUCACAGAGAUGCCCUGCAUCAUGCACUUGAACUCGCCGAAAUUCACCCGUCCGUCAUGAUCCUGAUCGACGGAGCAGAUCAUCUCGCGAACCCUCGCAAGGCUCUUUGCCUCCGGCAACCCUAGCUUCCCGAGCACCACCUGGAGUUCGGCAGCGGAGAUGAACCCAUCCCCGUCCUCGUCGAAAACCCGAAACGCCUCCUUCAUGUCCUCCUCCUCUUGAUCAUCAGUGAUACAGAAGAGCUCCUCCUCCUGCUGAAUAUAAAAUACUAAAAUAUUAUUCUUUUAUUUUAUACAACAUCAGAACAAAAGAUAUUAAGUUCGCUCGUCAUCAACAAUAUACGAAAGCAAUAUAGUUUAAGACUAGUUUUUGAGUUUUCAGAGAUAAACGUUUGAUAUUGUGUGAUGCACGUUUUUUUUUUCUCUGAUCCACAAUUUUGUAAUAUUUGAGAGAAAAAAAAUAUUUGAAUUUUUUUUUCAAAAAGCAUGAAAGUACGUGGUUUUAAUCAGCACGGUGUGGCCUGAAGGUGGUGUUCAUUUGCUUCUUCAAAAAAAAAUUUUAUAAAAUAAUUUUCUAAUCAAAAAAUUUAUUUUUCGUCCAUUUAGAUUUUUUAAAAAUAAAUAUUCUGAAAAUAUUCCUUUUAGAUGCAUAAUAUUUUUCAAAAUUAACUUUUAGAAAAAUAAUUAUUUGUGAUUUUUUGAGAAAUAGAGAUGGAUUGUUGUGUCAUCGUUUAGCUCAUAUCGAUCACAGCGAGAGCGCUUUUUAAAAUUUUUGAAUUUUAUCUAAAAAAAAAAAAAAACACUUUCUCCUAGACAAGACCAAUAUAAAAUACUAUAUAAUUUAGGCUAAAUUACAGAUUUUUUUUUUUGUAGAAACUUUUUUUAUUUUUUCUUUCUAACUUCUAAAAAUGUAUAUUUUAUCUUUUUAAAAUUUUAGAAAUAUUUUUAGAAAAAUAUCGUAUUAAUGAAGAGGGCAAAAUAAUCAAAUUGACUUUACUUCUUUUAUAAAAAAUAAUAAUUUUUUAAUAUAUAUAGAUAUAUAUGUUAUUUUAAAAAAUAUUUUUGAUAUAAAUUAUACAAAAUGAACGUAAUAAUAAUAGAACACUAACGAGAGGAGCUAUAUGCAACAAUUGAAAAUAUUAAAGAAGUAAUAUAUAAUGAAAGAAUAGGUAUUUAUAAGAAGAUUUUUUGUAAUUUAUUAUUAGGUUAAUUUUCUACAGAUCUCCACAAAUAUAAUAAGUGACCAAUAUAUCCCUAUAAAAUUUAAUUUUCAUAUGUUGUCUCUACAAAAAUUAUGAUAUUUUCAAAUGAGUCCCUCUAAUUUGUUAUCAUUAGAGAAUCAUUAGAAAUUUGUUUAUAUUUUUAAUUUUGUUAUCACAAAUAUAUCUUUUCAAAAAUUAUAACAGUAUGAUAUAAGAGGAAACAAAAAUAUUAAAAAUUAAUUAUGAUUAGAUAUUUAAUCUAUAAUUAACUAAAUUUUUUAACCGAUUCUAAUGGCAGAAAUAUAUUUAAAAAUAUUAGAAUUUUUAUAAAGACAAUAUAUAAAAAUUAAACUUUAUAAUGAUAUAUUUGUUAUUCACUAUAUUUGUAGAGAUCUGUAUGAAAUUAAUCCAUUAUUAUUACUACUACGGCUGCGACGCACCUCGGUGGCGGGUGAAGGAGAGGGGGGGCCGGCGAAGAGCGCGUCGCCGAGGGCGCGGUGGAGGGCGUUGAAGUCGGGGAAGAGGAGGCCGGCGCGGCCGGGGGGUACGAAGGCGGCGACGGUGGCGGCGAGCUCUGCGCAGUCGGCGCCGAGGCCAAGGCGGUCGAGGGCGAGGGCGAUCUCGUCGACAGUGAUCUCGCCAUCGCCGUCGCUGUCGAAGAUGUCGAACACCCGCCGCAGCCGCACCGCAUUCAGGCUCUCGCUCCGCAGCCGGAACGACCGCGACGGGGCCGCCACCCCCCGCCUCACUCCCUCCGCCGCCUCCUCCGAUGCCGACGCCGCCACCGACGACGGUGAUAACAUUAAUGAUUCCAUUAAUAUUAAUUAAUUAUAAUUAAUAAUCCUAAUAUUAAUUAUUAAUUAAUUAAUAUUAAUAUUUGGAAUAAAAAGGAGGAAUUGGGGAGGAGAAUAAGGUGAGGGGGUUGGUGGGGGGCGGGGGGGGGGAGCGGAAUCAAAUGGGUGGUGGGGGGAUUCAUUUAUAGGAGGAGAGAGGAUAAGGGCAGGUGAAAAUUUACGAAGAACACCCUCAGCUACAGCAUAUUGUGAAAUGGGUGCUCAAAAUUUUUCCUCAAGAUUUGAUUUUAUUAAAUUUUAAAAUACAAGUAAAAUUAUCAAAAAUUUAAUAAGUUUUAAUUUAUGUCCUAAUUUUCGAAUAAAUAACAGCUAAAUGCGAUCUAAAUUAUUAAAACUGUUAAAAUUGAACGGUCCAUAUGUCAAAUAGACAAUAGUUGAGGGGUUUAUGUACAUUUUUUCACCGAGGCUCGGUCAGCUUGUUCGGAAGAGCGCGUGCGCCGGAAAUGGAGCCAAAAAUUUGGAGGGUUAUUAUUAUUAUUUUUUUUUUGGGGGGGGGUUUCUUGUGCCAUUGAUUUACCUAAAUUUAACUUAUUUACGUUAGAGAGUCUUGUUGUAACGUUUGUGGAAAAGUGCGUCAAGUUUUUAGUAUUUAUUUGAUAUGAAAAAAAAAAAUAGAACUUUAAAACAGAAAAAUAAGGAUGAUUUUUUCGUCCAUGAUCAGUUUAAGCUUUCCAAUUUAUCAAAAUAACUAAUAUUGCCUCAACAAAGAAAGAAACAUUAAUGAUCGAUCACAAAGCUCAAAAAAUCCGAAAAAAAGAGAGACAAAAGUAAAAUAAGCUCAUAUAUGGACAAGCAUUACGAUUGUUCUGAUUCUUACGUUGAGUUGAAUAUGAUUAUAAUAGUCGUGGUAAUUAAUAACAUAAAAUUAGCUACAGCUGGUACAUUAAUCUAUUGCUAAAAGCACUUUUCCUUAAUAUAUUGUCAAAAAGCACUUCCUCCUCAAUAAUAUGAGUUGUAGGAGGAUGUACAGAUAACAACAACUUGAGCUUUUAUUAGGGGAAGCAAAAAGAUUAAGGUGGGUGACAACUUUGGACUUUGUUUACCAUGUGUUGUAAUGCAAUUAUUAUAAAUCAUAAAUUAGAUAGUAGUGUCCAGAAACUUUAGAGUUACCAUUUGUUCGUAUCGCAGUUAUUUCUAUUUCCAGCUGCAAUUUUAUCUAAAAUAUUUAAUAAAUAAAAAAAUUUGAAUUCGUAAAUAGAAAAGGAUAAAAUAAGGGCAUUAUUCAGUUGACGCUUUAACAAAUGCCGGUGAAAUCGUGCGGCCAAUAAGUGAUUUUUUGGUGGCCGCUUUUUUUACCACAAUUUUAUAGUAUUGAAAAAAAAUAAAAAUAAAAAAAAACUUAAAAAAAAAUUACGCAUUCCAAAAUAUAAGAACAUGCAGUUUUUACAACGAAAAUUCCGAGUUAGCAAAAAGCAAAAGUGGGAUAAGAAUUACAGAACCUCUUUUCUCUCUCUCUCUCUCUCUCUCUCUCUCUCUCUCUCUCUCUCUCUCUCUCUCCAACUAUAUAUAUAUAUAUAUAUAGUACGUCUCCCGUACUUUCGAAAGUACGGAGGCCUCCAUACUUGUAAGCUGUUUUCGAUGAUAGGACAUCCGAUUCGACAAUCGGCUCCGUUAGGCAUAAUCUACGCUAUUGGAAUUAUCUAGAAAUCAAAUUUUAAAAUUUUUCGACAUCAUUUACCAAGCGAUCACACGGCCUCAAAAAUGACUAUUUUAACGAUCGAUGUGGCACGUUUUUAAGUUCAACGGUGUAGAAGUAUCCAAAUUAUAUGAAACUUCAAUAAAAAAUUCUAUUUAACAUCAAGAGUAAGAACUAUACUUCCGAUUUGAAAUUUGAGUCAUUUAUCACUGUUUUUUAUGAAAUUUUUAUUUUCAGCCGUUCAUUUUGAGGCUACUCGUUCACUAGGCAAACGAAGUCAAAAAAUUAUGAAAUUUGGUUACUAGAUUGUUCCAAUAGCGUAGAUCAUAUUUAACGGAACCGAUCGCCGAAUUGGAAGUCCCAUCAUCGAAAAUAACUUAUAAGUACAGAGGCCUCCAUACUUUCGAAAGCAUAGGAGCCUAGCUCUAUAUAUAUAUUAUAUAUAUAAAGAGAGAGAGAGAGAGAGAGAGAUGAGUUGGAACUCUAUCGGUAGCAAACAGGCUCCGUUGCCACCCAUUUGCUUUCGAUGAUAAAACUUUCAAAUUGACGAUCGGCACCGCUGAACAUGAUUUAUACUACUUGAAGUAUCUAGAAACCAAAUUUCAAAUCUUUUCGACAUCAUUCACCUAGUGAUCAAAGAGUUUCAAAAUUUGUAAUUUUAAUGAUAAAUAUGAAGUGUUUUCUCGUUUAACGGCAUAAAGCUAUCCAAAUCAAUUAAACUUUGGUUAGAAAAUUUUUUCAACUAUUUAGAGCAAGAUCUAUACUUUUGAUCUCGAGGAUAAAAUUCCUAUCAAACACUAUCCACCUACCACCAUCAUCUCAACCCUACAUCUCUCCAUCCAAUGGUGAAAAACUCAAAAGUUUGAAAGUAUUCUAGCUCAAUUUUCUAUAUAUAUAUAUAUAUGAAAUUUAUAAUUUAGAGACUUUUACUUAUUUAUCUCUAACUGCUAUUUAAAAUUUUUAAAUUUAUUCUCAAAUUACUAAAAACCUGUCUAAAUCCCAAAUUCCAUUUAUAAGCCCUUGGGGGUUUGGGGACAUUUGGUCAAUCAAGGUUAUAUUAGAUAUUCCUGGAAUUUUUAUAGGCAUAUUUGAUAUUAUUUUAAAUUUUAUAAUAUUGAAUCAAAUAUUUUUGCACAAUACAAAAGUAUUAAAUUUUCUUAAGAAAAUUUAUUUUAAUGUCGAAUUAAUAUAUUGUCGUUGAUUGAACUACUUUUCAAUCUUUUUUGACACAGUAUAAUUAACUAAUAUAGAAAACAGAAUAUAUCGAAUAUCUCUGGUAACCUAUAACUGCUAUCUAAGAAUUACAUCAUAUCCGUCUCUUUUUCUAAAGAAAGAUGGCAAGUUAUUCAAUUCAUAUAUUUUUUUAUUAGAGUUAAACUCAAAUAAAAUAUAUAAAAUAAUUAAAUUUCGUACUUAUUUCAAUCUCAGAUACUAAUUAUUAAAUUUUGACUAAAUUACAGAAAACCUCUCUAUACAAAUUCGUUGUUUCACUUUCUCUCUAUUACUUUUUAAAACCUACAUUUUGCCCUUUUAAAAUUUUAAAAAUAUUUUCAGGAGAUUACGAUGCUAAUGGAGAUAGCAAAAUGACCAAAUUACCAUUAUUUCUUCUAUAAAAAAAAUAUAUUUUUUUAAUAUAUUUUUAUCACUUUAAAAAAUAUUUUCGAUAUAAAUUAUAAAAAAAAUGAACGGAAUAAUAAUAGAACCCUGACGGAGGGGGUUAAAUACAACAACUUAAAAUUUUAAAAGAGCAAAAUAUAAAUUUUUAAAAGUAAAAAAAAAAAAGCAAAAAACGAAUAUUUAUAGAAAUUUUUUUUAUAAUUCAGUCUUAAAUUUUUAACUAAUUGUGCUAGAUCCAGUUGAGUCGGCGGUGACAUUCAAUCUCUAGAAGGCGAGAAAAUGUAUGUCACAUUCGAUUCGAUCUCUCGAAGGCGAGAAAAUGUAGUUUUGGGUCGCUUUUAAACUGGCCAGGAGACGGAGAAAGAAAAAAAAAAAAAAAAAAGUCAAAAAAAGGGACCAAAAUGAAGAAAAAAAAAUCAAAAAAAGGACCAAAAAGACAAAACCUGGGGGGGGUUGGGGGGGACGAGGUUCCGUACGUUGAAUGGACCAAAACCGAAACGCCGUGGUUUUAAAACGUCAACGCGCGGGGGCCGCGGAGUAGGCGCGGAUUCCCCGUCGACCGUUGGAAGUAGUUAGGGCUUGGAAGCGACCUCGAUCACUCGCCGUACUCUCCCGGCCGUUUCAUCCGAACCGUUCGAUUCCCCGCCCCACUUUUGACGAAUCCGAUUCCUCUUUGACCGUCCCCCCCUCCCCUUUGAUCUCCCAAUCAGAGCGUGCGCAUGUGCUGACGAAAUGGUAAAAGAUGUACCCAACCCAUAUGCACCAUAAAUUAUUGGGCCUUUUUUGUAUUUAGACCCCUCCAAAAAAAAUUUAUAUAUAUAGCCUCACAAAAUUUAUACUCACGGUGAAUAAUUCAUCGUAUUUCAGUAUUUUUUCUACGAUGGUAUUAUAUAAUAUUUAGAGUUUAAGAUUUAGCAAGGACACGAUAAAUCAUUCAUCAUGUUUUUAACUUAAUCUCCACCGCCAUCGACGCUCGCGUGACGCUCGCGUGGCGGGGAUAAAAUCAAUCGUGUUUCAGUAUUUUUCCUAAUGUGUAAUUUAUCCUUCGAAAUUUUAAUUUUACUAUCCAAUUUGAUUCGAAUCGAUCAACGACAUUUGACUUUAAAUUUUGAAUGUAUCGUUUAUUUUUACAGAUUUAGUUUAUAACUUUAUAUAUAAUUCUGACAACUAUAAUUUAUUAGAGUAAGAGAUUAAUCUAAAUUUUAAAGUUAAGAUAUUAUUAACUGACUUGAAUUAACAAAUUGAGAUAUUAAAUAGUCAACGCAAAAUGAUUUAUAAUUCAAAAAAAAUAUAAAAUUCCUUGGGGCUUAAUCCAGAUAGUUUUUGAAGAGUCCUCGGCAGCGAAGAAGAGUCAAUCCAGACGUCUCCAAUCGGCAUAACUGAAAAACACGGCUUGAAACAGGAAAAAAAAAAAAAAAAAUCAAGGGAAAGCUUUCAAAUGACGUCUCAUUAAAAACUCAAAACAUAUUUAUCUCUAUCUCAUGAUUAUUAUCCUUUCCUCUAAAAUUUUAAUUUUUUUUUCUAUAUUUUAGCAUUAAAAGCUAUUUAACAAAUAUGUAACAGCAGAUCAGAAGCUUCCAACGAGACAUAAUUCAGAGCUCGCGGCUGAAGUUUUAUCCGUUUGGAAGGUG